GAGAGAGAGAGAGAGAAAUUAAAAAGCAAGAGGAGAACUGGAGCUGCCUGAGUAGGUCUGAUAGGCUCCCCAGCUGAGAGUAAGUGGGUUACGUAGGCAAUAAGCUCUGUUCAACUUCAGCACCUACAGAAAGAUCUGUUCUGGAGGCAGCAGGGAAAAAGCAAGUUCUCGUAAGUGGAGAAGGAAACAGAUCUCUGCCUUCCCAGGGUGUAUCUAGCUCCUGUUGGCUGGGGAACUCUUAAUCAGAUUGGCACCCACGAUGGACUGCUGUAAUGUACGUACACAUCUGUAGAUUAUUAUUAUUAUUAUUUUAUUUUGGAAUGCGCAAAGAAAAAAUCAUGCUAGAAUGUAAUAAGCUGGUGGGGAAAGACUGAAGUUGAGGUGCAGUGCUCAGGUUGUUUUGUUCGUUUUUAUUUCUGAACUAUUAUGAAUGGCAGUCUGUGAUCAAGUGCUGAGAUGUCUCUGAAUCUACUCUCAUAUUGAUAUGGCGCAGGGGGAGGGGGAACACGCCCACCUUUUCUUUAGGGUCUUUUCUUUAGGGUCUGAAAGAUCCCCUCUCUGAGAUGGUUGUGGACGAGGCAACCAGGCAUGGCACACCAUGUACCUGAACCCUGUGACAUUUUGGAAUUUCCCCUCCCUGUCUGAUGGAUAGGAAAUUCUACCAGCUGCCCUGAGCCUAUUUAAUAACUUUAAAUUAGAUGUGGUGCAUUGACUUUUUUAUUGCAAUCUUUUAAAUAAAAGGAGUCUGUCUUUUGGAUCUUUUAAGUUGGCUGCUCUGUGUGGCACAGCGAUUUCUAGUUGCCAGAAAGCUAAGCGUGGAAAUAGCAAUAACAGGACCAGCAGAACUGUUAGUUUCUGUGUGGGAGUUUGCUGCUUAUUUCUGCUCCUGUACUGGGGAGAAAAAGAGAUGAGGGGAAAUAAUGGCUCUUUUAUAUAUAUAUAAAGGGGCUGAGAAAGAAGAACAAGCAGCAACCGCUGACUAAAUUCACGGAUCAGGGUUUUUCUUUUUUUCCACCCCUUUGAAAGAAACACACUAAAACAAUGAACUUUGGACUGCUGGAAGUCUUAAAUCGGAUUUGCGCUUUUGGGUGGGAAAAGCAUUUGAAGGCUGGCAGCGCUGGGUAGAACAUGCAUAUUUUGCAAGCUUUCCCCCCUGGGUUUCCUUCAUUUUUCCACCUUUGGAGCAAGGGUAGCCAACAUUGUUCCCUUCUAAUGUUGGUUUUCUGGCUCCCAUCAGCUCCAGCCAGCAUGACCAGCGAUGCAAGUUGUGGUGCAACACUCUGUUGGCUACCCUUGAUUUCGAGAUUAAUCCACACACAAAAAUAAGUGCUGUUGGUAUGUUCACACGUUCUGUUGGCAAAGGGGCUAAGGUGGCGAUGGGGAACAUGUGGCCAAUCAUUGACCGUGUUGGCUGCGGGGGCCACAGAUUCCCUCAUCCCUAGUUUAGGGAACUGCAAACAAUACUGGAAAUAUGCCUACAAUCAUUUCCUGCUUAUUAGGACUCCUUUGAGGAGUGCUGUGUUCAAAUAUUCUGAGUGUGAGUUGGUAGUUGUGCCCCCUUUUCAGGAUUCAGGUCCAUUCCCAGGGGUUGGAGAAGUCUAAGAUAACCGAGUGGUUGGGUGAAUGCAUCUUGAGGCCCCUAGUUACAUCCAGAUAAAUGCCUGUUCACUGGAACUGUGAAGAAGGUACAUCUGGCCACUUCACCAAGUGUUGAUAACAUAUUCCAGGGCUAUCUUGUGUGAGCAAAUAUGUUUCUCUGUUAUAUCUUGAACUGGAAAUGACAAACAUGCUCUUGGCUUUUAAUUCACUGCAUAAUCAAUGGAUAUAGCAUUUGGAGAAGGGCUUUCAGCAUUUUUUAACAGUGGAGAAGGUGGGUGAUGCCAGUUUGAAGCUUGGACAAGGUACGUUCCUGUGGGCUUCGUUCCUUCAUAGAAUCAUGGAGCUAAACAGGACCUCAAAGAUCAUCUAGGCCAGGAAAUCUGCUGCUACGGCUUCUCUGAUUGGUGGUAAUCCAUCACCUGCUUUAAAAAGUCCGAAGAAAAGAUUUCUGAUGCAAUCUUAUUUUCUUACGUUUAUAUACUACGUCUUCUUCUCCUUCCAAGAAGCUCAAGGUGGUGUAUAUGGUUCUCCUCCUCCCCAUUUCAUCCUCACAACAAGGCUGUGACUUAGGUUAGGCAAAGACACGGUGACUGGCCCAAGGCUGCCUCGUGGGGAUUCGAACCCUGCUGUCCCAGGUCCUUAGUCCAACACUCUAACCAUUAUGCCACACUGGCUCCCAAGGGUGGGGAGCCACAAGGUUGGUACUCUCUAUCUGGCCUUUGGCAAUUCCCCCAGGCCUACUUCCACCCUUGCUCUCAUACUCCUUUGCCAGCCUUGCUUCACACCUUUUUUCAGGUGUUUUUACCUGACUGGAAUAUGCUUCUGAACUCUGGCAAUGCUUCUUGCUUGCCUGGAUAGAGGAGAGAGGGGUGUGUGUGAAGAAACCAGCCUACUAUGCAAAAAGGUGGUAAAACUCACAUUUGUUGCUCCACCUUCUUUUGCUUCUGGCCCUAGCGCACACUUGUGGCCCCCGGAAACUUGCAAUGAAUGGAAUGUGGCCUUCAGGGUGGAAAAGGUUUUCCACCCCUGUGCUGCAGCUCAUGCUAUGAAAUUCUCCCUGUUGUUUCAUUGAAAUCCCCUUUGUUGUGAAUGGAAUGUGUUGGUUCAAGUCCUGCCUUCUGGAUCAAUGGAAAACCAAUUUGCUCUAUCAUCACGACAGCCCUUCAAGUAUCUGAAGGGGGCCACAACAUCACCCACCUCUUAGCUGUCUCUAAAACACACACUCAUUCCACCGUAAUUCAUCAUACUUGGUCUCUAGGUCCCUUCACCAUCACUGCCACUCUUCUGCUAUGGACACAAUCCAGUCCUUACUACCACCCCCUCCCAGAGAGAGAAAUGACAAAGUAUAUGGCUAUCUACAUUGGCUCCCAGUAUGUUUCCAAGUACAAUUCAAGGUGUUGGUGCUGACCUUUAAAGCCCUAACGGCCUCAGCCCAGUAUACCUGAAGGAGCGUCUCCACUGCCACUGUUUAGCCUGGACACUGAGGUCCAGCUCUGAGGGCCUUCUGGCAGUUCCCUCACUGCAAGAAGCAAGGUUACAGGGAACCAGGCAGAGGGCCUUUUUGGUAGUGGCGCCCGCCCUGUGGAAUGCCCUCCCAUCAGAUGUCAAGGAAAUAAUCAACUACCUGGCUUUUAGAAGGCAUCUGAAGGCAGUCCUGUUUAGGGGAGUUUUUAAUGUUUGAUGUUUUAUUGUGUUUUUAAUAUUCUGUUGAGAGCUGCCCGGAGUGGCUGGGGAAACCUAGCCAGAUGGGUGGGGUAUUAUUAUUAUUAUUUAUUUAUUUAUUUAUAUUAGAUUAGAUCUUCACUUUUUUAUGCUCCUCUUGCUGCUUGCUUGAAGAGGGAUGGUGAGCAAGCAGCAACAGGAGAAGUAGCAGCAGGGGGACGGAUUGGUAGUGGACCCCUAACUGAGGGGGGCAUGGCAGAUGCUCAACCACACUGAUUCCUGAUGCUGGUCCUGGGUGUGUGGCUUAUGGUGAGAACCUUAUUAUUAGAAUGGGAAUGUUGCAAGCAUGUUUCCAUUGUCACCUGUGAGAUGCUAAGGCAGGGAUGGGGGACUUAUGGCUGAGCUCUCAUCAGCCCCAAAGCAGCAUGGCCAGUAGUCAGGAAUGAUGGGAGCUGGAGUCCAACCACAUCUAGAGGAGCACACAUUCUCCCAUCCCUGUGCUGGCAGCAUAUGCGGCUGCACAUCCCACAACACUGGCAAGUAUUUACAUACCCCGCUCUAUGUGGGGCUACCUUUGAAGGUGACCCGGAAACUACAAUUAAUCCAGAAUGCAGCAGCUAGACUGGUGACUGGCGCCAAUACUAUGUACCAGUAACACUGGUUCUGAAAGACCUACUUUGGCUCCCAGUACGUUUCCAAGCACAAUUCAAAAUGCUGGUGCUGACCUUUAAAGCCCUAAACGGCCUCGGCCCUGUAUAUCUGAAGGAGCAUCUCCACCCCCAUUGUUCAGCCCAGACACUGAGGUCCAGCUCCGAGGGCCUUCUGGCAGUUCCCUCACUGCAAAUAGUGAAGUUACAGGGAACCAGGCAGAGGGCCCAGUACACCUGAAAGAGCAUCUCCACCCCCAUCAUUCAGCCCGGACACUGAGAUCCAGCGCUGAGGGCCUUCUGGCGGUUCCCUCACUGCGAGAAGUGAGGUUACAGGGAACCAGGCAGGGGGCCUUCUUGGUAGUGGCAUCUGCCCUGUGGAACGCCCUCCCAUCAGAUGUCAAGGAAAUAAGCAGCUACCUGACUUUUAGAAGACAUCUGAAGGCAGCCCUGUUUAGGGAAGUUUUUAAUGUUUGAUGUUUUAUCGCAUUUAGGGAUGUGAAAAACUAUAGCAGCCUUCCCUCAAGCUGCUGUGGCUUUCAAUUCCUGGUCCCUGGUCCUGUUGGCUGGGUCUGGUGGGAGUUGCCUUCCAACCAUAUCUGGAGGGCAGCAGCUUGGAAAAGGCUUCUCCAAAGGUUAUUGGACUUGCAAGGUAAAAUGAGAGUUGAGUCCCCAUCGACUGAAACCCAUCAGCGUCAAGAAGAAGCCUGGAUUUCUUCUAACAGCCUGACCCAGAAAUUCUCCCACAUCCGCAGAGCUAGAUGGGGAAAGGACGCGAUCUGCUCACUUAGAGCUUUUGUUGGAAUUUUCCCGUGAUCCUAUUUGCCAAGCCAGGGGAUGUCAGUGCCGGCGUGCCGGCAGCUCCUAAGGGACUCGGGUUGGUUUUCAGCAAUUUCAAUUAGGAGAUGGCUGGCAGAGUCGUAUUUCGUUGCAUUAAGUGGGAUGGAAACCAGGCGACUUGUCUACAGAAAGCAGAACUUUGUGCCACCUUCUUUGCUUAUUUAUAUGUUUGUCUGCCUGCAUUCGCUGGCAGGGUGUGUGGGCUGCUGGGGUUCCUGGGCAGGACUGUGUGCCUUAUUUGUGGAGACAGCCUUCCAAUUUGGAGGGAGCGCAGCUACUUUUCUUCAGCACAAAUAUAUUACCAAAAGAAAAGGAGGGGAGGGAUUUUGGGAUAUGAUUUACAACGAACUAAAAAAGAAGUUUAAAUUAACCUUUGCCAAAAAGACCUGAAGCCUUUCUCUGAGGUAUUAUAGGUAUAGAUAUACCAAAAGAUUUGAGGAUGUUAUUUAUGUAUGCAACCACGGCUGCAAGACUGCUAUCAGCCCAGUGCUGGAAAGGAGAUAAUAUACUGACAAAAAUGGAAUGGCAGACAAAAUUAUUUGAAUAUGCCGAGAUGGCAAGACUCAUGGGGAAAGUUAGGAAUCAUGACGACCAAAAAUUUAUCACAAAAUGGGACAAAUACAGAUAAUCCUUAAAAGAUAACUGUGAACAUCUGGAAUCUUUGGCAGGCCUUGAAUGACUCCUGAAAUGUGACAUAACAUAUGGACGUACUGGAUAAAUAUAAACUAGAUGUUAUUCAAUAUGCAGUUAAUAUAGAAUUGUAGAGGACCCACGUUCGGGUGGAGGGAAGUCUUAAUACUUUUAAACAGAAUAUUAUUUCAUUUUCAACGUUUGAGUAUUUUCUUCUUCUUCUGUAUAUCUCUGAUGGAGAAUGAUAAUUGUGAUGUAUACAGUGGUACCUCGGGUUAAGUACUUAAUUUGUUCCGGAGGUCCAUUCUUAACCUGAAACUGUUCUUAACCUGAAGCACCACUUUAGCUAAUGAGGCCUCCAGCUGCUGCUGCUGCACCGCCAGAGUACGAUUUCUGUUCUCAUCCUGAAGCAAAGUUCUUAACCCGAGGUACUAUUUCAGGGUUAGCGGAGUCUGUAACCUGAAGCGUAUGUAACUCGAGGUACCACUGUACUUAAAAAAUCAACAAAUAUUAAAUGCAAAAAAAAGGAGGGGGAGAAAGAUGGAUGGUUAGGGGUUAAGUUCUAACAGAGUCUUUAAGAAGGACCCCAAAAGCAGGGCCAUUUAACUCAUCUGCUCCUCCCUUAAGCACACUGGCACAGAUCCGAAUGAUGCAUUCCACAAUGUGCCACCAGCAGAGAACAGGUGUGAAGGGCUGGGAUUGCUGGGACUCUGACAAGGCCCACAUCUGAGCAAGUGGGGACAUCUGCUCAUCCCCAGCCCUCACCCACAAGCCCUCUGGCCCUGUUACUGCUCUGCCUUGCCUCUGCUGCCUACCAGCCGCCUCCCUUCCCCAAGCAUGGAAGCCAAGAGGGCUAACAUAGGGCUCUUCUGAUAUCUUUGAUAGUGAUGUCCACAUGAUGGGACUUCACUGAAUGCCCACUGUUGGGGGAUGGGCUGCAAGCAGGGGCUGAGGAAGGGGGGUGCGGUAGGUGCGGGCUGCCCCGGGUGUCACCACUGAGGGGGAUGACAAAAUGCCGGGAGGCACUCACUGCGGGGCCUGCAGUGCGCCCGAGCCACACGUCUCUCCUGGGAAAGACGCGGUGGCUUGGGCGCAUGCAGGCACUGCACUGCCCAAACGAUUCACCCGCUGUCUCCCCCCCCAGCUGUAGGGUGGCAAAGUGGGAGGAGGCAGUUAGGCUCUGGAGGCCCUGUGGUGCACCCCACCCCUAUGGGCAACUCGCCCUGCCCCUGGGCACACCGCCCCAGGCACCCAAGUGUCUUCCUCCACCGCUGGCUGCAAGGAGGGCAGCUCAGGACCUUUUUAGAGGCAUCAGCAGAGUUGUGGUGGGCAUGUUAAUGCCCAGCUGUCUGGCCACCUGUCUGUCUCUCUUCUGUAGAGGAUUGUCAACUGCCCAGGAAAAAACUGUUGUGUCCUGCUCCUGUUCCUUCAAGGGAUUUCUCUGCAUAAAUCAGCUGCUAUAUAUCAUCAGCUUAUUUCUGCACCUAGCUCAGUAUUGUUUUUUUCUGACUUAGCAGUGACUCUCUCCAGGGUCUGAGGUGAAGACAAAACCUUUCACACCACCUGCCACUUGAUCCUUUUAAACCGGAGAUGUCAGCAUUCGAAUUGGAGCAUGGCUUUGUCCCUGAGCUGCAGUCCUUUCCCUAUACAGUGGUACCUCAGGUUAAGUGCUUAAUUCGCUCUGGAGGUCCAUUCUUAACCUGAAACUGUUCUUAACCUGAGGUACCACUUUAGCUAAUGGGGCCUCCCGCUGCUGCCGCACGAUUUCUGUUCUCAUCCUGAAGCAAAGUUCUUAACCUGAGGUACUAUUUCUGGGUUAGCGGAGUCUGUAACCUGAAGCGUAUGUAACACGAGGUACCACUGUAGAUGCCACCCAUGCAUUACAGCUCCUUCCUGAUCCUACACAAUGAUGCCAGUUUUCAGAGUAGAUGAUCGCAAACAAACAAAAUGCAUCCAAUUUCAGGCAGAGAUUUGGAGAAAAUGUUCCCAGUGUACCAGUGGAUACAGCUUCAUUAUCUGGAUUUCUUGUUGUCUUGGUUAUUAAAGGUAAGGGAGCCAUUCCAGAAAAAAAGGAAGCAAUUUUUUUAAAAAAAAAUCCCGCACACGCAUCACACAUGUAAAGCACAUUUUCUCCCCUCCUGGGAAUUGUAGUUUGUUAAGGGUGCUGGGAACUGUAGCUCUGUGGGGGGCUAAACUACAGUUCCCAGGAUUCUGUGCUGUUUCUACAGUGGAGUCAAUGCAGUUGAAAGAAGUCAUCAGGUGAGUCUCAACAAAAGGGCACAUCAACGUGGAGCCAUUUAGGGGGAUCAGGUGGGAAGAUGAGUUUUGUCUUUGAGUUCCGAACAGCAAGUGCUUCUGGCGGGUUGACCUUUCUGCACUGAGACGUGCCCCAUGCAAUGUAAUAGCAUUUCUUAGAAAUAUCAUUGCUGGCAUUCUCAUCCCACUCCAUCUGCCCUUAUUUUCCUGUAACUCAUCAUUAGCUGUGACCAGGCACGGAGUCAGCCUCUGGCCUCCUUGGGCAGCUGCUAGGGGUCCCUACUCCCUGGCAUGGUCCACUGUCGCCAACAUCUCUUGCCCAGGUCCUCAAGCCGUAUUUCUAAUUUCCUGGAGUGACCGUGACAUCAUGUCUCUCCAGGGCAUUAGUGUCAUGGAAUUCUACUCAAUAUUGAUCCAGAGUAGAACUCCAGCGUGUAGUUAGCAGAGUAAAAACUUAAACACGUUGCAGAAUUCUCAAAAAAUAGACCAGAGGCAAUUAAUAUUUCAUCCAGCAGAGCUUUACUGCUACUGAAGGCAAAUGAGCAUAAUGGUCACAAAUCCAAUACAUCCAAUACAGUUGCAGCAGACUUAACUUAAACUUACAAUAAGUUUAACCUUAACACUAAGCAUACUAUAUACAGAACACCACACCAGAAGGAUAGAGAGAUAGAAAGAGUGAAACCAGGCUCCUUCUGGCCGUAAUAUUAUAGUCAACAUGACUUGACAGAAGAGAUAACAGAACCAAUUUAAGCCAGCUGUACUCGGCUUCUCUGAAGGAAUAACCCAAACAUCAUGAACCUUCUGCUUGUUUCUUUCACACAGAGAAGCUUCCAGAACCCUCUUGAAUAAAUUAGAAUAGGAAAGAGCUCUACACAUCAGAACAACACUUUCUGCACUAAGAAAUGCAAACUGAUAAUUAGUCCCCAUACACAGGAGGCUGACUUAUAACAAGUCAGACUAUUGGGUACAUCUAGUUCAGUAUUAUCCAGACGGACCGGCAGCAGCUUUCCUGGAUUUCAGACAGGAAGUCUUUCCCAAAUCAACCCAGAGAUGCCAGGAUUAAACCUGUGACCUUCUGCGUGCAAAGCAGAUGCUAUACCACACUGAGCCAUUCCACAAAAUGUGGGGAAUUGUGACUGAGUGUUACAGACCCUCCAAGUGUCCCUAUUUUCCAGGUACAGUCAUGGAUUUCCAGAAGCCAUCCCGGUUUCUGAUUUGAUCCCAGAAUGUCCUGCUUUUCCUUAGGACGUCCCUCUUUUCAUCGGAGAAAUGUUGGAGGGUAUGGAGUCAUGCAACCCCCCGAACCAAGGAGAUAAGUCACUAUACAACCUUUAGAAGACACCUGAAGGCAGCUCUAUAUAGGGAUGUUUUUGUUAAUGUUUAAGGUUUUAUUAUGUUUUUAUAUAUGUUGGAAGCUGCCCAGAGUAGCUGGGGCAAUCCAGUCACAUGGACAGGGUAUAAAUAAUUGUAAUUACAUUAAUGAUAAUAAUUAUAAUUAUUAUGGAAUAGGAUGUCCCUAUUUUCAGCUGAGAAAGGGUAUGGUGUUAUAGCCAGCUUUCCUUACUAAGUAAGACCAUCACAUUUCUGAAACAAGGGCCUUCAGAGAAAUGAAUGUCAGGGGCAAUGAAAUAAUCCAAUCUAGAAAGUUUUUCAUGAAAGUAUGACAGCAGAGGUGUAUGUGAACACAUAGCGUUUAAAACCAUCUUUAAAAAGAAUGCCCACAAACCUUCUGUACGAACAGAGGUCUAAAUGCCAUCUUUCCAUGAAUGAGUCUGGCUAUGGGCAUUCUUAUAAAGAGUUUUGGCAUCCAUGCCACAUGAACUCACCUUGAACUGCCCUGACAGUUUUUGGGUGGGCAAGAAGUGUGAGGAAAAUUGAGUGAGGUGGGUGGUCUCGCCAGGGUGGGGGGGAUACAUCAAUAAAUUAAUUUGAGCUGACUUUAUCUAGGGACAAUUUGAGAGGCCAACAAAUGGGAGCUAUUGAAGAAGAAUAGAAUGGAUGUGGAGAAGGAUCUGUUGGGAAAUUAACCGGGAGUAAAUGAAUUGAAGAGGAACUGAUCUGGGUGGGGUGCAAAUUAAUUGUAGAAUUUAUCUGAAGAUAUGGAUGGGAAAUUAGUUAGUUUGUCUUCUCUCCUGUGACAUUUAAAUUCUAGAUUUGCAUCUGCACAUAUCAAUUAGUCUGUGCAAUGUUAAUGCAAAUGUCUGUCUCUGAGCUUGUGCGUUGAAUCUUUUAAGAACCUAGCAACGCCCCAAUUCUGCUUAUCAGAUUAGUCCAAGAGGGCCCAUUCUGUAUCAGUUAACUAUCAAGUAACAUUGCACUGUUGAAAAACAGAGAGAAAGUCUUUAAAUUAUGUAUCAAGGUUAUUCUAGGGCAGGGAUAGCCAAUGCAGCGACUAGGGAUUGGGCAGAAAAUUGAUUCAGUUUGUACCUAAAGGCAAAUUUCCUGAUUUGCACUUCCUGAAACAAAGCGCAAACCAAAAUGUAGUCAUCCUUUGGGGUGGGGUGGGGUUGUGGGAUAUUAAAAUGGUAAUUAGACCAAACCUACCACCUUGAACUGCUCAGAGUGCUGUCCCACAAGUCCACAAGUACUAGCUAACAGGGUGGGGGCAACACCAGUGGCCAUUUUGCACAGGGCCCCCCUCAAACCUGGUGCUGGUGCUGAUCACCACAUUUUGCCACAGUGAAUGCCAUAAGUUAAUUACGUGUAUAGACAGUUACCGUAUUGGCCCGAAUAUAAGCCACACCGGCAAAUAAGCAGCACCUUCCAAAAAAAAAAAAAAAUAAUGGGGGGGGAGAGAAUACCCAAAUAUAAGCCGCUCCCUUAAAAUUGGGUUGCAGGCUGAAAGUCAUUGCGGUUGGUAGAAUUAUAACUCCGAGCCCAUUUAAGCCUUUGAUCUUGCAAGCCCGCAAAAGUUACUGUACAAUCGCUAAAACAGCAAAUUUCUAUUCAGUUGCUACAAUCCCCCAGGCACUCACACCCGUAAAUGGCAAAUGUAGAAGAAAAUCCUAUGGAUACUGGAGAGAACCCGCAGGUGGGUUAAACACCUGUUCGUAGCACCGUCAGUGCAAAUAAAAAAACUAAUACUGCACUGUAGAAUACAGGGAAAGCGAUGAAUGACAUUAGAAUUAAUUCCACAACAGUCUCAAGCUUCCAAAUCAGCAAUAAAAAUUUUUUUUUUGGUUCUGUUUUACCGUAUGUCUGUUUCAGCAGCUAUAUCGUAAAAGCCAAUUUUUGUAAGGUCGCUAAUUUAAGCCGCAUGUUAACUUUUCACAGUCGGAAUUUGGGGGAGAAAAGUGUGGCUUAUAUUCAGGCCGAUACGGUAACUUUUUCUCUCCUGUCGUGAAUCAUCUGCUAAUCAAUAGACCCCCUCCUGUCCCACUUGUCUUGUCUCACGGAUGCAGCAAACAGCUGGACCGUAUAUCGUUUGCCUGGAUAAAAGAUAGCAGUUUUACGUGAUGUCUAUCCAUCUCCUCUCCUGCACAGGCAGAGCAAAGUUGUCUGCCAAUAAUUGGACGAGGCUUUCUGAGCAUCAAACAUGGAAGCCCACUCAGGGGUUGUAAAUAGCAGGGGUGUUAAGAACGAUGGUCACCCCGCCAAAAGGAGAUGGGCUUAUGUAACCAUUCCCAGGGGUGUAAUGUUAAUGCGCCAAACGCAGGCUGGAGAAAAACGUGAUACAACACAGCCAAUGCUUACUAUGUGGCGUGGUUCAUUUUAAGUGCACCUCAAAAUAGCUUCCAGAAAAAUCAAGCCUUCAACAGUUUGAUGCGUUUAAAAUAAAACCAAAAUAAAAUAAAUGACAGGUUUAAAACAUGAGCAGGUUUUAAGAGUGGCGGAUCAUUUAUGCUGCUACAGUGCCGUCAAAGUAAUUGGGCUUACAGUAGCGUAUGAUCGCAUUUAUAAGCAUACAGUGCUGAUUUGAAGUGUUGCAUUUUGUAUUGCAUUCUUUGUUUCUGUGAGUUGCUGUCAGACUAAUACAGAACAGUUCUUGAGAUGCCUUGGGUGGAUGACAAGAAAAGCAUCAUGUUUAUCUCUAAAUGCUUGCGUGCCAUGUGUAUCAAGGCAAUAAUAAUAAUAAUAAUAAUUAAUAAAUGCCCCACCCAUUUGGCUGGGUUUCCCCAGCCACUCUGGGAGGCCUCCAACAAAAUAUUAAAAAUGUGAUAAAACAUAUAACAUUAAAAACACCCCUAAACAGGGCUGCCUUCAGAUGUCUUCUACAAGUCAGAUAGUUGUUUAUUUCCUUGGCAUCUGAUGGGAGGGUGUUCCACAGGGCAGGUGUCAAUACUGAGAAGGCCCUCUGACUGGUUCCCUGUAACUUCACGUCUUGCAGUGAGGGAACCACCAGAAGGCCCUCGGCGCUGGACCUCAGUGUCCAGGCUGAACGAUGGGGAUGGAGAUGCUCCUUCAGGUAUACUGGGCUGAGGCCGUUUAGGGCUUGAAAGGUCAGCACUGACACUUUGAAUUGUGCUCAGAAACGUACUGGGAGCCAGCGUAGGUCUUUCAAGACCGGUGUUAUAUGGUCUCGGCGGCAGCUCCCAGUCACCUGUCUAGUUGCCGCAUUCUGGAUUAGUUGUAGUUUCUGGGUCAUCUUCAAAGGUAGCCCCACAUAGAGAGCAUUGCAGUAGUUCAAGUGGGAGAUAACUAGAGCAUGUACCACUCUGAUGAGACAGUCUGCGGGCAGAUAGGGUCUCAGCCUGCAUACGAGAUGGAGCUGGUAGACAGCUGCCCUGGACACAGAAUUGACCUGCUCCUCCAUGGACAGCUGCGAGUCCAAAAUGAGCCCCAGGCUGCACACCUUCAGGGGCACAGUUACCCCAUUUAGGACCAGAGAGUCCUCCAUACCCGCCCGCCCCUUGUUCCCCCAAAACAGUACUUCUGUCUUGUCAGGAUUCAACCUCAAACAAGUUGUGCAGCAGUGAGAAGAAUCAUAGAAUCAUAGAAUCAUAGAGUUGGAAGAGACCACAAGGGCCAUCGAGUCCAACCCCCUGCCAAGCAGGAAACGCCAUCAGAGGACUCCUGACAUAUGGUUGUCAAGCCUCUGCUUAAAGACCUUCAAAGAAGGAGACUCCACCACACUCCUUGGCAGCAAAUUCCACUGUUGAACAGCUCUUACUGUCAGGAAGUUCUUCCUAAUGUUUAGGUGGAAUCUUCUUUCUUGUAGUUUGGAUCCAUUGCUCCGUGUCCGCUUCUCUGGAGCAGCAGAAAACAACCUUUCUCCCUCCUCUAUGUGACAUCCUUUUAUAUAUUUGAACAUGGCUAUCAUAUCACCCCUUAACCUCCUCUUCUCCAGGCUAAACAUGCCCAGCUCCCUUAGCCAUUCCUCAUAAGGCAUCGUUUCCAGGCCUUUGACCAUUUUGGUUGCCCUCCUCUGGACACGUUCCAGUUUGUCAGUGUCCUUCUUGAAUUGUGGUGCCCAGAACUGGACACAGUACUCCAGGUGAGGUCUGACCAGAGCAGAAUACAGUGGCACUAUUACUUCCCUUGAUCUAGAUGCUAUACUCCUAUUGAUGCAGCCCAGAAUUGCAUUGGCUUUUUUAGCUGCCGUGUCACACUGUUGGCUCAUGUCAAGUUUGUGCUCAGCCAAGACUCCUAGAUCCUUUUCACAUGUACUGCUCUCAAGCCAGGUGUCACCCAUCUUGUAUUUGUGCUUCUCAUUUUUUUUGCCCAAGUGCAAUACUUUACAUUUCUCCCUGUUAAAAUUCAUCUUGUUAUUUCAUGGGGACAUAGGAAGUUGCCUUAUAGUGAGCCAGGCCACUGAUCAUUCUAGGUGAAUAUUAUCUACAUAGACUACAGUGGCUCUCCACAACUUUAGACAUUCCCAGCCCUUCUUGGAGAUGCUGGGAUUUAACCUGGACCUUCCUACAUGCAAAGCUUUUUCAAAAAGUAGGUCUCUAGUCCCUUUGAUUUCGGUAAUAAAAGGAAAACAGUUGAUGAAGAUUUCUAACCAGUUGCUUAGCUGCAAUCAGUUAAUGCUAUAUUAGUAACACAGAUCCAGCAAACUUCUACUCAUAGCUGACCUGCUGAAAUGAAUGGAUUCCACCAUUUAAUCAAUUUAAAUUAAAAAAACCCAAUUUAAAUAAAAAAAAUCUGUUUUUCUUUUUUUUAAAAAAAAUCAUUGAUUUUUAUCCACCCUGAUUUAAGGCAGACUAUGAUGGAUGAAUUGUCCCCCUUCCUGGAGCUACUGGCUUCAGGCUCUUCUGCAAAAGUUACCAAAAUCCUUCCCAAAAGUAGGAGUGGUUUAUGUGUUGGUGGGACCCGAAGCAGACAAGAUGUCUCAAGACUGAGUGGAAGCAAAGAUAAAUUGAUAAGACAUUGAUUUGCUUAAAAACGACACAUGCUAAUUUAUAUGUACAGAUGCAAAUGUAGAAAUGAUUACAUUUUGCUAUAGUGGGAAGACUAUAGCCAGGUGUUCUGUGCACCUGCUCAGUCUGCUCCCCUGGUUCUAACUGCAGGGAAGAGAGUUGUACCUCAUUGGCAGAACACACGCCUUGCAUGUAAAGGGUUCCAGGUUUGAUCCCUGGUAUCUCCAGGUAAGGCUUGGAAAAAACAUCCGCCUGAAACCCCAGAGAGUCAGUGUCAAAAAUAUAAACCAGUCUGGCUCUGCAUAAGUGACACAUUCAAUUCAGUUCGCAUUUAAAACUGGAUCGAUCUAGUUCACGGUUCCCAAAACAACAUUCAAACCGAAGCACAGACGUCGUUUGAAAUUUGCACUUCCCUGAAUUUUGCAGUGCAGUUCUCCAGCCAACUUAUGUGUAGAAAACCUCACAUACUAAAGUGUGUGUAAAAAUGCAUGCAAUAGUCGAAAUAACAUUUUAAAAUGUGCUAUAUUAAGGACGAUUGCUUUGUGACACUGUAUAUGCUAGACAAAAUUGCAUACAAAAAUUUUCCGGUGUGUUUUCGUGACAACUUUAAAAAAUAAAAAUGAGCAGAAUGAUGUAGAAAUGUGGGGGGAAAUAAGCUACCAUGUGAAACCCAAAUUAGCAUGUUUAGCCAUUUUUUUAUAAGGCAGCUUCCCAAAUUCCUGCGUUCCUAUCGUGUCUUGGUAGAUAGAGGGAUCGGCUCUAAAGAUUUACAGAUGGGACUGGGAUGAUCAGAGUCACUUGUGACCCUUGCAGAACUGGAAAUUAAGUGGCUUAGGGGAACACCUUGUACACUACAUUUAUAUGAUGCCCUAUUUAUUAUGUUGCUACUGUAGCAUUCAGCGAAACCCUAAGAGAUGCCUUUCAGCUCUGUGUAAUUCAGCAGUCUGUUAUUAGCCGAGGAAAUGAAGACUCUGGGGGUGUCUAUGAUUCAACACUGUUUGCAUGUUGCAAUGGAAAGCAUUUUGAGGAAGUCAUCUAUUCCCCUGCUGUGUGUCGACCCCAAGAAAUAGAUUCCUUAGAGUAGGAGAUUCAGCAGAUACAAAAGGAAACACAUCUUCAUACAACACAUAGAUAAAUGAUGAAAUUUGCUACUGUAAGAUAUGGUGAUGGCCUCCAGCUGAGCUGUAAAUGUGGGGAUGAGACAAAUUGAUUGAGGAUAAGCCUACCAAUGACUACUUGUCAUGAUGGUUGUUUAUUGCCUUCAGGACCAGAGGCGUCCUGCUUCUGAUUCUGAAUAUUGCUGGGGAAAAGCAAUAGGGGAGGUGUAAUGUUGUCAUCAAGGAACACGGGUGGCGCUGUGAGUUAAACCACAGAGCCUAGGACUUGCCGAUCAGUAGGUCGGCAGUUUGAAUCCCCGCGAUGGGAUGAGCUCCCGUUGCUCGGUCCCUGCUUCUGCCAACCUAGCAGUUCGAAAGCACGUCAAAAUGCAAGUAGAUAAAUAGGUACCGCUCUGGCGGGAAGGUAAACAGCGUUUCCGUGUGCUGCUCUGGUUCACCAGAAGUGGCUUAGUCAUGCUGGCCACAUGACCCGGAAGCUGUACGCCGGCUCCCUCGGCCAGUAAAGCGAGAUGAGCGCUGCAACCCCAGAGUCGGCCACGACUGGACCUAAUGGUCAGGGGUCCCUUUACCUUUCAGGCCACCUGAGGCCUGUUGUCAGCUCCUGUUUCUGGGCUUCCCAGAAGUGAUUGACCACGGUGGGAGCCUCUAUAGCAGCAGCAGGAGCCACCCAGUGAGGACUUCCUAGACUUGGUGGCACUAACAUUUAGCUGCUUCAACAGCCAGGAGAUUCAGCUACAAAAUGGCAUUUGUUGGAACACUGAGUACGAGGCAGGGGGGACAGGACUUAUGUACACCUUGUACUGCCGUAACAACAUUUGCAUCUGAAGAAGUGUGCAUGCACAUGAAAGCUUAUACCAAGAACAAACUUAGUUGGUCUCUAAGGCGCUACUGGACAAUUUUUUUAUUUUUUAGUAUAUUUCAACCUUUGCAUCACUGUGUGUUUAAUUGUGUUUUAAAUGUAUUGUAAGACAUCUCUAGAACUUCAGUUCGUAGGUGGGGUAUAAAUAUUCAUUAAUACAUUAAUGAAAUAUAGAAAACAUUCUGGAUUAGUUGUAGUUUUGAUCUAUUUUAAAACCAUUAAAAAAUAAACAAAAAGAGAGAAAAUUGUCUGGGCCAUAUGAUGUCAGGGUGUGACCUGCCCAUGCCUGUGGGUCCUGUUUAUAGUUCUGGGUCAGAGACAUAAAACCACUUUGGCACAGAGGUUAAAACAUCAUGCUAGAUCUCAGACUCAAAUCCUUGAUCACCAUUUCCCAGUUAGCUUACCUCACAAUGCUGUUUCAAGGAUAACGUUAGGGGGAAGGUUGAAAGAAGAAGUUUGGACACAAUCUCUUUAAAAAGAGGUUUGGACACUAAAGCUGGAAAAAAAAAAGUUCUGUGCAUCCUUCUGGUGUCUGUGGAUAAAUGGAAGGUCCAGAAGUUGCAAAGUCUAAUUAUACAGGCUUCUAUUCAAUUGAUCCCCUGCCAGAAUCCCGACAAUAAUACUGAUCAAACAAUCAUAGUGAUUCAAUUGUGGGCAGGAAAAAAGCCUACAAUUGUGUUACUGUGUGUAAGAAUGGCAGAAAUCUAAUCUUUUAGAACAGGAAACAUUUUUCCUAUGCAGCUAGGCAACACUCUGUGCAUAGAAUACAUUCCUCCACCACUCAGCCAAAAAGGCAGCUUCGGAUCAAUUAAAUCUUUAGGACAGAUUGAAGCCAGCAAGACGCUUUUCUUUAAAAGGCAUAGUUCUAUUUUAGCACCGUGAGAGCUCUAGGAACAGCACUGGAGGUGUGUUGUGGGGGGGGGAAGUGCCAUUUCAUAGACAAUGCUCAGGUGUAUGCAAUAUAUAUUCAGCAAUGAAUAUCACAUGCGUGCGAGUUAGCAUGGCUGGCUGUCAGCAACUCAACUCUGGCAGGUAACCAAUUAUCCCAUUAUGGUGUUUUAGCUUCUUUGGCAGAAUUGCUUCUGUACCCUCUCUCCCAGAUGAGGCGUAAUGUGAGUCACAAUUUGGGGCGAUGAGCCUUUCUAGAUGACUACAAAAAGAAAGGGGGGGGGAGAAGGAGGCUAGGUUUUUUAUUUCUAAAACGCUUUUCUUGUGCAACUCCUCCGAUCCAGUGGCAGUAGGGCUAGUGUUAUAUAAUCUGAUUCCUGAGAAUGGAGACAAGGGGAGGCUGGGCUAGGCUGUUCCAUAUGUCCCACUGUUUCACAGGUGAAAACAGGGAAACAGUUAUAAAUACAACACGUCACAGCACCCAAUGCUUAUAUUGUGGAUCGCUACUUACUCAAGGCAUAUAUUCACGCAUACAUCAGUAUACAUUGCUAAAGCGUUUCCUUUUGCUUGUUCUACUUGGUCCUGGCUGUCAGUGGUUACUAGCCAUGAGCUAAAAGGUAAAAGGGGACGUGGGUCUAAACCACUGAGCCUCUUGGGCUUGCCGAUCAGAAGGUUGGUGGUUUGAAUCCCCACCACGCGGUGAGCUCCCAUUGUUGUGUCCCAGCUACUGCCAACUUAGCAGUUCAAAAGCACGCCAGUGCAAGCAGAUAAAUAGGUACUGCUGUGGCGGGAAGGUAAACAGUGUUUCCGUGCGCUCUGGUUUCCAUCAAGGUGUUCCGGUGUGCCAGAAGUGGUUUAGUCACACUGACCACAUGACCCGGAAAGCUGCCUGUGGACAAACGCCGGCUCCCUCGACCUGAAAGCAAAAAGACUGCCACAACCCCAGAGUCGCCUUUGACUGGACUGAACCGUCUAGGGGUCCUUUACCUUUACCUUUACUAGCCAUGAUGUUUCUUUUCUUCCGUAGGCAGUAUCAUACCCUCCAACAUUUCUCCGAUGCAAAUAGGGACGACCUACUUUUCUCCUCCUCUUCUUCUUCUUCAUCUUCUUCUUCUUCUUCUUCUUCCACUCUGGGCAGCUUCCAAGUAUAUAAAAACACAAUAAAACAUUAACAAAAGCUUCCCUAUACAUGGCUGCCUUCAGGUGUCUUCUAAAGGUUGUAUAAUUACUUAUCUCCUUGGCUUAGGAGUUGCAUAACUCCAACAUUUCUCCAACGGAAAUAGAUACCUCCUACUAUACCCUCCAACAUUCCUCAGAUGAAAAUAGGGACCUCCCAAGGAAAAGCGGGACAUUCUGGGAUCAAAUCAGAAACCGGGACGACUUCUGUGAAUCCGGGACUGUCCCUGGAACAUAGGGACACUUGGAGGGUCUGUGACACGCCUCCGAAUAUCAGUUGAUGGGAACCACAGCUGGGGAGAGGGCUGCUGCGUUCAAGUCCUGCUUGCGCACUUCCCAGAGGCAUCUUGUUGGCCACUCUGAGAAAAGGAUGCUGAACUAGAUGGGCAGCUACCCUGAUCCAGCAGGGUAGCUCAUCUUCUGUCCACAUCUACUCUGCAAUAGUAACCUGCCGUCCAGGGAGGAGUCUGGUGUUCUGGUUGGGCAGUCCCUUAACACAUCAUCAAAAAGAAGGGGCAGAUUUGCAUGAAAUUUGCAUAGGUACAGACGCAAUGUUAGAAAUCACAAUAAUAAUUUAAAUUAUAUCAAUCAAACAAUCAAUCAAAUCUUUAUUACAGUCAUAGACCAGCAUAAGUAGGGUAGGGUACAAUCAUUUAAAAUUUGUAAGCCGUUUUGGAAAGCUAAGUAUUAAAACAGAAGGUAUAUACAGUCAUACUUCGGGUUACAGCCGCUUCAGGUUGCAUUUUUUUGGGUUGCGGAUCGCCGGAAAGGGUUACUUCCAGGUUUCAGCAGUUGCGCAUGCGCAGAAGUGCUAAAUCACACUAUGCGCAUGCGCAGAAGUGCCGAAUCGCAACCCACGUGUGCACAGAUGCGCAGACGCAGGUUGUGAACACUGCGGAUUGCGAAUGUGCAUCCCACAUGGAUCAUGUUCGCAACCCAAGCUUCCACUGUAUAAAAGACUACAAGAAGCUGAAAGAAUCUAAAAGAAGGGUUAGGAGCAUUAAACAGAUGUGGAAGAGCAUAAAGGGUUAGUAUAUAAAAAACUGUAGCUAUCAAUUUAGAGAGCACUCUGAUAUGAGUGUUCAUUAAUUCUAGUUUGUGGCACAGGUCAUCACCCGACAAAUUUUGAACGCGGCUGUGAAGACUCUGGCAACAUUGUAUGUUGUAGCAGGGUUGGUAUAUGAAAGCAGCAGGGAGGUAUAGAAUUGUCCGGUGCACCCUGGGUACUUAUGGAGUAGUGGGGAGGUGAGGCUAAUACAAAUGUCUCUGUAUUAUAGGGCACUGGAGAAGCACAUGCUCUAUUGCUUCUAUUUGUCCAGAGUCACAGGGGCAUUGUCUCUCCGAGUAAACCAUUGACCUUCAGUGACAGCCGAGGGGAGGGCGUGACAUCGUGCCAGGGUAAAGGCCUUCCGAUGCUUAGGGACUUCGAGUUUAGUUAGAUAUGCCAUGGGGGAGGCAGAGUACCUGGCAGAUUCACUGGUGAUAAAAGUUAGGGUGCUGGCUAGAUCCAAUUGGUGCUCUGUGUCAGCUACAUGUUGUUUAAUGAGGGCUUUGGCCUGAUCGUAUCCUGAGUAGAAGACCUGGAGAGAAUUUAAAUUAUAUCUCACCUUAGUGAGGAAGACUGUGGCCAGGGGACCUGCCGGCUGGCCUGAACAAUCCAGGUGUGGAAGAGCAGCUCAAAGUCUGCACCUUGCUCUCCCUAUUUAUGAUAUCUUGAUCUUUAAACUAGACUUGGACCACAGAAUCAUUCAAAUAAGGAAUGCCCUUUCAUAGAGAACUGUUCUCCUUGGUGACAUGUCCUGGGAUGAAGUCCAUUCAUAGGAACACAGUAAGCUGCUUUCUUUCCUUUCCUUUCCUUUCCUUUCCUUUCCUUUCCUUUCCUUUCCUUUCCUUUCCUUUCCUUUCCUUUCCUUUCCUUUCCUUUCCUUUCCUUUCCUUUCCUGCUUUUCACCUCAAUCUUGGCUGCCUCUUUUGUUUUGAAAGGAGAGAAAAAAUACAAUCUCACACUUGUCUGACAAAACCACAACAAAGCCUAGUCAUUUCCAACAAACCUAUAGCUAUUUGCAGUCUGAAGUUAUGGUGGGUUGAAGUCAGCACCAAGCUGUAAUUAAAGUUAGCACAAACAGCCCUUGACGAGAACUUCAGGGAUAAAUGAACAUUAGUUCAUUCCUGGGUUGCUUGCUUUGUUUGUUUUGCUUUGAAUAAUAUGACAAGAAACAGCCAUGGUCCAGAAUGACAUCAAAGCCAUAUCUUGGAAAGCUGCCAGCUCAUGCUUGUUCCUGAGACCAAGGAGAGGUUUUCGUUUAUGUUUGGAUACAAUUGAAUGACAUUUUGAAUCAAGAUGGUGGUCUGAACUUUUAUUUUUAUUUUUUAAUUUUGUAAUUGUUCCGUCCCCCACAGUUUUAUCAUUUUAACAUAACAAUUUCAAACAUUAAAGUACAAGGGUCUUUGAACCUUUGGACCUCCUUCCUUCCCUCCAUCAGUUCCAUGUUUAAGAUUAAAUUUGCUGCAUCUUUUACCAUUAUCCAUCUGUUAAAUAACCAUGAUAAGCAUAAAUAGUUCCACAUUACGAGUGUCCUUACAUCCCUGCCAGAGAUUUUAACUGUUUACAGUGGUCUUUUAAAUAAAUUACAAAUUUACUCCAGUCUUUAGAAAAUGCUGGAUCUUCCUGGUUUCGGAUUUUCCCCAUCAGUUUUGCCAUCUCCACAUAUUCCGUCAGUUUCAUCUGCCAUUCUUCUUUUGUUGGUACUUCUCCUUCGUCCCUGACAAGAAUGUACCUGAUGGCGUGAGGACCUCCUGUGUUUAUUUUCCUUCCUUCCCUCUCUCGCAGGAAGGGGCUUGCACCAAGCUGGAUGAAGACAUCAUGGAUAUUCCCUUGGAUGACCCCAGUGCCAACGCGGCUGCCGCCAAGAUCCAGGCCAGUUUCCGUGGCCAUAUGACUAGGAAGAAGAUCAAAGGGGGAGAGCGCAAAAGCAAGGACCCCGAGUGCACGAGCAGCACUCGUGCGGGGGACCUACGCAAUGGAGAUUAAGUGGUAAGCAUCCGAAUGCCCCAGCCCAGCUUACUUGUUUUAUUGCGAGCCAUUCUUUUGCAUGUACCUAGUUUAAUUUAGGGACGUGGGUGGCGCUGUGGGGUUAAGCCACAGAGCCUAGGACUUGCAGAUCAGAAGGUCGGCGGUUCGAAUCCCCGCGACGGGGUCAGCUCCCAUUGCUCAGUCCCUGCUCCUGCCCACCUAGCAGUUCAAAAGCACAUCAAAGUGCAAGUAGAUAAAUAGGUAUUGCUCCGGCGGGAAGGUAAACGGUGUUUCCGUGCGCUGCUCUGGUUCGCCAGAAGUGGCUUAGUCAUGCUGGCCACAUGACCCGGAAGCUGUAUGCCGGCUCCCUCAGCCAGUAAAGCAAGAUGAACGCCGCAACCCCAGAUUCGGUCACGACUGGACCUAAUGGUCAGGGGUCCCUUUACCUUUACCUUUUAGUUUAAUUUACCUUCCUACUAAGAGCCUUGUGGUACCUGAAAGAUGAAACAAUUUAUUGUGGCAUAAGCUGCUAUGGUCUAGAGCAGGGAUGAGGGACCUGUGGGCCUCCAGAUGUUGUUAGACAAGAGUUGUUAUCAUCCCUGGACAUUGGCUAGGCUGGCUGGUGCUGAUGGGAGUUGUAGUCCAACAUCACCUGGAAGGCCACAGGUUCCCCCAUCCCUGCAGUAAUCUCUGCCCUUAUUUUCUUAACAAAGGGUCAGGGAGCCUAUGACCUUCCAGAUAGCAAUAAAUCCCAGCUCCCAUUAUCCUUGACCAUUGUCUGUGACCAAGCCAUCAUGGUCAACAGUAGGAAUUGAAGUGUACGUGGGUUCCCACAAGGCAAGACACAGUGAUAACAGCAAGAACUUUUAUUGAACUACAUAACUGGGAAACAGAGGACAAGCAACUGCUUAUAUACAUUUCUGAAGGCCUGGGCCACUCCCACUCUCAACAUGAUUGGCUGUCUAAAUUUCCAAACUGUGAAUCAUGACUCAGAGUUCAAGGGCCAAUGACAGAGGCCCAAAUCCUGAAAUGUUCUGUGAUUGGACAACAUGUAUCGAAUCAGAAUAUAGGAGCUCAGAAUCCGUAGUCCAGACUCAAGCUCAGGCAAACACAGACCACUGAAUACAUAACAGGAAUGAUUGGAGUUGGGGUCUAGCAACGUGUAAAGGGCCACAGUUUCCACAACUCUGAUUUAAAUGGAAGACUCAGUGACUUUCCUGCUGUGUGUAACUGUGGCAUUGUCUGUCCAAAAAUUCAUGAUAUGUUACGUCCUUCUACUAACUCCCAGGGUGUCAAAGAUGCCAAAUUCCAAGGGGAUUGAACAAAAGCUUCCUAUUAUUUCAGAGGCAAUUUUAAAAAGUGCACAUUCUAUACAUUUCCCAUUGAUUUCAGCAAAAGAUUCAGACAAUCUUCCAGGGGUCUCGUAUCAUCUUGGGUGCUUUUCAUUCCAAUGACAUGAAAUUUGCAGUCAUUCUAUUAUUCCCUCUGGGCAUCAGACCUGCCAAUUUUCAGAUGGAUUGGACAAAGGUUUCCCAUUUAAUAGGCAAUUAAACAAGGAGCAACAGACUCAGCCUAACUGCAGUCGAAACUCAAUAGAACUUACCACCAAGCUGUCAGUUUCAUGGUCUCUCUCUCCUCUUUCCCUGAGACAUUUUGGUGCACAGAUAAGUAAUGCAAACAAUUCGGCCUUCCCCAUCCUGGUGCCCUUCAGAUGUUAUGGACUACCACUCCCAGCAGCCCCAGCGGCAUGACAGUGCUGACUGGGGCUGAUGGGUUUUGUAGUCUAAAACAUCUGGAGGGCUCUAAUACAAGCUCAUUCCAAGUGCAUGGAAAAAGAAAACAAAUGGAAUUUCAUUUCCGGGCACGUUCGUUCCCAUUUUUCGUUCGUUUUGAACAUUCAUUUCUGCAGCGCAUCCGAAGGACAAAACAAACAGGCUUUGAAAAGCCUUGUUGCAAUCACUGCAUUGUAACCAAUACUAUCAUUGUAUCAUUUUAAUGGCCAAGAUAACCAUUCAUUAUUCUAUGCAGCGAUUUUGCAGUAAUAAUGAUGAAUACGCCCACUAUGCCCGCCCUGUAGAGAAUGAAAACUCAUGCUUUCUAUUACUGUUUAUGGUCUCCAGAACUGAUCCCUGCCCUUUCCUCAUUUUCCCACUUAAGCACAUACAGUGGUACCUUGGUUCUCAAACUUAAUCCGUUCCAGAAGUCCGUUCCAAAACCAAAGUGUUCCAAAACCAAGGCACGCUUUCCCAUAAAAAGUAAUGCAAAAUGGAUUAAUCCAUUCCAGACUUUUAAAAACAACCCUAAAACACCAAUUUAACAUGAAUUUUGCUAUCUAACGAGACCAUUGAUCCAUAAAAUGAAAGCAAUAAUCAAUGCACUGUACUAUAAAAUAAAUAAGACAAUAUUGUAGAUGAUUAAAAUUAAAAUUAUUUUUUUUUCUUACCUACACUGAUGAUAGUCAUCAGGUUGUAGGGCAUUUAUCCAUUUACGCAGUUACACAACCAACCAGUAGCUGAACUGGGUUCCACACAGUCACAAAAACAAAUUAACCGAAAAAGCCUCAAAAACAAAAACACAAAAUAAAUAGCAAAAACAAAAGCGCCAAAUGUAAUCCGUUCUGGAAGUCUGUUUGACUUCCAAAAUGUUCGAAAACCAAGGUGCAGCUUCUGAUUGGUGCAGGUGCCCCGGAAACAAUAGCCGACAGCUGCAUUGGACAUUUGGCGUCUGAAAAAAAAUGUUCGAAAACCAGAACACUUACUUCCAGGUUUUUGGCAUUUGGGAACCAAGGCUUUUGAGAACCAAGGUACCACUGUAUUGUUGAAACUGAAGGCAAAGGUGGUUUGAUGCUUGUUCAUAGAAACAUGUCAACUUUCACUAAAGCUAUGGGCUUAGUCUGUUAGUGUUGUACCUACUGAAGAUUUUCGGACACAACACUAAAUUAUGGUGUAGCAUCAUGUAAACGAGCCUCACACUGCUCAGACACAAAGUGCCUCAGGUCCAUUGGUACCAAAUGAAUGGUUCACUAUCACCAACCACGACAGGAGUGCAUGAUGCUCUCCACCUGGUGACUGAGAUAUUGAUGAUGAUGAUGAUGAUGAUGAAGAAGAGUUUGGAUUUGAUAUCCCACUUUAUCACUACCCGAAGGAGUCUUAAAGUGGCUAACAUUCUAGCCAAACCUGAUUCAGCCUGUGUACACAACAUACAUUCAAAGCACAUUCUCCCUCCCACAAAGAAUCCUGGAAACUGUAGUUUAUCCCCCAUAGAGCUACAAUUCCCAGCACCCUUAACAACCUACAUGGAUUCUUUGGGCAGAAGUCACACGUGUUACAUAUGCUCCAAGUGUGCAGUGUGUCUGCAGCCUUGAAGGAAGACACAUUAUGCAAGGUGGCCAGAGAUGUGUGGCAGAACCCACUGCAGCAGCACAGCAUGUUCAGCCGGUGCAUUUUGCAGAAUUCGUUGCUGCAAGACACGGGUAUGACCGCUGGCUCAGAUGACUUUAAAGCACCAGAUAAACUCUUGGCAUGGACGUCCUAUGGGCAAUGACAGCUAAAUGGCAUCUUUUAUGCUCAGUGGAGUUCUAAAUUCUGUUUUGCUGAGGUCGGGGGGCAGGGAGCAAAGGAGACACUUCAUAGCCUGCUUGUUGGCUUCCUGGAAACAUCUGCAUGCCCUUCGUUGGGGAGAGGAUGCGGGUUUAGAUGGACCCUCAGCCUGGCUCUUUUUUUGUGUACUCUGUAUCCAGGGGCCUCUUUUAAAGGACUCACCCUGUAUAAAGCAGAUCCUCUCUCCAAAAUAAUGUCUGGAAAUCCUGUAUUUAUUUUUAUUUUUUUAAGAAUAUUGAGAUCAUACUGACCCUUUCUCUUUCUGCAUGGUAGUCAGCAGCUUUGUAGUGCGUCCACCACAAAAGCAGUCUCCCCUGCUCUAAUGUUGCUUUCAGAUUUAGGUCCCGACAGUUUGGUGAACUUUCAGUUUGGUGAACUUUCAGUUUGGUGAACUUUCAGUUUGGUGAACUUUCCCGCAAGGGUGAACAGCACCGAAACCACACCUGAGAUCCCCUGUUGAUGCUUUUAAAGACUUCCUGGUUUUGUUGCUUGUUGCUUUUCAUGCACCAUUUAUUUGAAGACAUUUUAAUGUUUUCUUACAAGCUGCCCUGAUAAUGUACUGGGUGCAAAUCCCUCCCUCCGUUAUUGGUUCUCCCUCUUUUUAAAACAAAACGUUGAAUACCGCCAUGGAAGGGUAAAGAUCACGAUGUUCCGUUGCACCAGAAGCAGUCUAAUCAUGCUAGCCACAUGACUCGGAAAGCUGUGUGUGGACAAACACGGCUCCCUUGCCCUGAAAAGCAAGAGGAGUGCCGCAACCCCUUAUUCACCUUUGAGUGGACUGAACUGUCGAGGGGUCCUUUACCUUUUUACCUUUUACAGGGGAGAGAGGACCCGGGGCUGUACAAAGCACAAUGAGACCGAAGCAGAAAUAGAUUGAGAAAAGCAGGCCACAUGACGUAUCCAGUACAGCUUGCCCUUUGAGGCUGUCAGAUUGAGGACAAGAAGCAAACAAUGUGACCUGCUCUGUUCCAGACGAACGAGUUCAACGUGGCACACUUUGCUCUCCUCCCCACCCCCAUCUUAAUGCUCAUAACAAACCUGCCAGGUAGUUAGGCCAAAAGUAGCAACUGGCCCAUGGUCACCCUGUGACAGUGGCAUAACGUUGGUUGCUGGCACCCAGGGCAUGGGUGAGGCAGGAACACAUGUGCCAGGCGGAGGGAUGUGUGCAGACCCCAGUCCUUGCUGCCGCUGAAGUGACCCCCAUCUACAGCAGAGCAAAGCAGGGCCACGCUGAACCACCUGCCUGUCUGCGCAGGGGUGAGCCUGGCUGGCCAACGUGGUGGGCAGAGAGGAGACCAGGCUGGGCCAAGUGGGGUCACCUGUGUGGGGGCACCUGGUUUGCGCCCUCUCAAAAAAUGUAUGCCCAGGGCCACGGCCCUGUGGCCCUCUCACACUACGCCCCUGCCCAGUGAGCUUCAUGGCUGAGUGAGGAUUUGCACCUGGGUCUCUCUCGGCCAAGUCUAACACUCACACCUGGGGACAGGUGUCCUGUUCCAUCCUUCAGAUUAGGCUGCAGUUCCCAUUGGCACCAGCCAGCAUGGUCAGUAGCCAAGGAUAAUGGGAAUUGUAGUCCAACAGCAUCUGGGGAACCGCAGGUUUCCCAUGCCUGCUCUAACCUCUACACCACUGAGGCAUUUGUUGGUUCUUCACUGUGGUAUUCUAUUUAUAUAUGCUGGGAUGGCACAUCCAUUAAGCAAGUGUAUAGUAAAACCUGUUGUUGUUGUUGUUGUUGUUGUUGUUGUUGUUGUUGUUGUUGUUGGUUUUGCUACAGUCCUGUUUUUUGCUUGGCUUAUUCCAAGAGCUUUUUAAAUAAUAAUAAUAAUAAUAAUAAUAAUAAUAAUCUUAAAAUGCCACAUCCCACUUUUCUCUCUCUCGAAAAGAAACACAGAGUGGCUGAUAAGAAUUAAAAUACACCCAUUAGAAACAAUUUCAAAUGCAUGCAAUACAAACACAUUCAAAGGCAUCCAAUAAAAAUGAAUUCAGAAAAUGCAUCAAAAAACCAACGCUCUAAAAACAAAAAAACAACAGAUUUCCAAAAAUCAACAAAAACAACAACUUGUAAACAAACACCAAAGAGAGAGCAAGGCAAAGAUGGCAUCUUGCCGCCUCCAGAAGGGCUAAAUUUACAUUUUGUAUCAUUCAUGUAUCUGGGUAUUUUAAAACCAUAAAGCGCUUUGGGUACCUUGGCAGAAUCAGCCAGUCGGUGGUUUGGAAAGGAAAAUAGCCUCCAUAGAUACAUAACGAGGAGAAGAAAGUUUUCCAGCUCUGUGAAAACAUUGAAGCAUUUUGUAAGUUGCUUUAGUCACAUGGCCCUGAGGAAGCAGAGAGGCAUCCAUGCAUGAUUUCUGCACCGUAUUUUAUUCCCUGUUGUAGAGCAUCUUCAUAGCUAAAAAGCCAAUGCAAUUCUGGGCUGCAUCAAUAGGAGUAUAGCAUCUAGAUCAAGGGAAGUAAUAGUGCCACUGUAUUCUGCUCUGGUCAGACCUCACCUGGAGUACUGUGUCCAGUUCUGGGCACCACAAUUCAAGAAGGACAUUGACAAACUGGAACGUGUCCAGAGGAGGGCAACCAAAAUGGUCAAAGGCCUUAUGAGGAACGGCUAAGGGAGCUGGGCAUGUUUAGCCUGGAGAAGAGGAGGUUAAGGGGUGAUAUGAUAGCCAUGUUCAAAUAUAUAAAAGGAUGUCACAUAGAGGAGGGAGAAAGGUUGUUUUCUGCUGCUCCAGAGAAGCGGACACGGAGCAAUGGAUCCAAACUACAAGAAAGAAGAUUCCACCUAAACAUUAGGAAGAACUUCCUGACAGUAAGAGCUGUUCGACAGUGGAAUUUGCUGCCAAGGAGUGUGGUGGAGUCUCCUUCUUUGGAGGUCUUUAAGCAGAGGCUUGACAACCAUAUGUCAGGAGUGCUCUGAUGGUGUUUCCUGCUUGGCAGGGGUUGGACUCGAUGGCCCUUGUGGUCUCUUCCAACUCUAUGAUUCUAUGAUUCUAUGAUUCUAUGAUUCUAUGAUUCUAUGAUUCUAACCCUGUAAGGUAGGUUCAGCUGAGAGAAGCAGUGAGCAGCCUAAGGUUAACUAGUGAAUUUAGUGGCUGGAGGGGAUUUGAACACAAGCCUUCUACAUGUGACACUCCAGCCACUGAAAAAUGGCUUCUAUGCACGAUUGUGUGUUCUCUGCACUUCAAGUUACCUUCAGGGCAGCUUGCAGGUGUCUAAUUGAGUGAGGACAAGGUAUUUUUGGUGGUAGUUCUGGGGCUUUCAAUUGCCCUCUUUGUGGAGAUUCCUCCAGCUCCCUCCUUGUUUUCUUUUUGAUGGAAGCUGAAAAUAUUUCCUUUUUUCGGGGGGGGGGGAUUAUUUGGUUUUUCAAAUUAAAAUUUUACAGAGAUAUAUCGAACAUAAAUAAUGAAAACAAGAUUCCAAGAAGUCUCCUGGACUUCCAUCCUCCCCUUUGUGGAUCCUAUUAUGAAUCAUUUCCUCCCGCAUCUUUUAGGAUGAUCCAAAUCUUUUACAUCUCCAUUGUGUCCAAAAUUCACCCUGCAAGUGAUAUCCCAAUCCUACUAAUGAUUUUAACUGCUUACAAUAGUCUUGAAGAGAAGUUAUAAAUUUCCCCCAUUCCUUAUUAAAAUUUAUGACUCUUCCGGUCAUUUUAGCCAUUUCAGCAUAGUCCAUCAACUCGAUCUGCCAUUCUUCUCUUCUUUCCAUCUCUGGGCCCUGUAACAUCCGUGCAGCCGUGGUCGCCUACAUAAAUAUGGUACUCUUUUCUGCUCCCUUGGGAUUUUGGCACCUAGAAUUCCUAAAAGGAAGGCUUCAGGGGUUUUUUUUUUUUAGCAAAGGUUAUUUUAAACAUUUUUGAAGCUGAAAAUAUUUCCAUUUGAACAGGCUCUUAAAGUUUAUCACUGCUGCUGCUUUUAAUAUGUAGGAAAAAUAAGACCAUCUAGCUUAGCGUUUUCUAUACUCAUGGGAAGCAGUUCUUCAGGGAGAAGUGAGUUUAAUGGCUGCUACUUUUAAUGAUUGCUGUCCAAAUUAGUGACUUUAAUAUUGUGUAUUUUAUUUCUGUUUCUUUUGAAAGGCACUCUGGCUGCCCAUUUGAACAGGAGCUGUUGCUCUUAAAUUUUAUACCAUAAGCUUAGAAUUAGAUGCUGGGCAAAUUUUUCAGCUCCCUCCUCCCUCCCUUCCUCCCUCCCUUCCUUCCAAGUUGCUAGACCUUAAGGCUGCAAUGAGAACUGGAAACAAUGCCUGUUUAAGCUGAUGUGUCAGCAUGAGAGCCGGACUUGCACUGGGGGCUUCAAUCCUUGGCACUAUUCCUUGACACACACCCCCCCCCCAUGGCCAGCAGAAAAUACUUAUGCAAAAAAGAAGCGAAUGCAUUCAAUUUUCACAAUUUAUUCCAGGUGCCAAUUUGAAUCCCCCUCCUGUUUUAUUUUUAUUUUUUUAAAAAAACUUGUCUCUAGAGUAUCUUCCCUGUGUAGUCAGACUAGAUGAUUCUUGACAUCCCUUCGUACUCAUUUCGGUGGAAAACAGAUGCUACGUGCUGUGCAGACUUGCUGGGAAGAUUUCUGGCAGAGAAAAAUAAUUAUUUUUCCGCGCUCCCUGCCCUCAGCUGAGUUGAUGUGUACUUCUAAUGCUACUUGCUCCAUGUUGGGUGUUGUCAACUCAACAGCAAGCUAGGAGCAUCGCACAAAUUGUCAUUAUUAUGGAUAAAUGGUAAGGCAGGCUCAAGCUUAGUUCUGUCCCUGAAGCAAUUAUGAUGAUCAUGAUUAUUAGUAGUAGCAUUUAUAUUAAUUAGUUGCUUUAUUCAUAGAAAUGACUUACGGACACAAUAGAAAUGCUAAAAGCAAUUAGUUGUACCUCGGAUCCUGAACGCCUUGCGAGUUGAAUGUUUUGGUUCCUGAACGCCACAAACCCAGAAGUGAGUGUUCUGCUUUGUGAAUGUUUUUAGGAACCCGCACGUCCAUUGCAACUUCCACGGCUUCCUGCAGCCAAACGGAAACAGUUCUUUGGUUUUCGAACGUUUUGGAAGUUGAACGGACUUCCUGAAUGGAUUCUGUUUGACUUCUGAGGUACCACUGUACAAUGAACAGAGUUCAUAAAAACCUUUUUUUUAAAAAAAAAACACAACCCCAAACAAACCUUAAACAUCUAUGCAAAUAAAAGACAGGAGUAGCAGAGGGACUAGCACCUUUAAAAUCCAAAUGUGUUUUGGGAAUUUGGAGCGGCAAUUUCCUAUCCUUUUUCAUUGACAGUUAUGAGGCAGCAGGGAAUCAAUCAGAUGCAAUUCUCCUGCACUUCUGUACUCAGGGGUGUGUGUGUGUGUGUGUAGAAACACCCACGCCAAACCUCUUUCUGCCAUUAGCAACUGUGAAUCAUGGAAAACUUUUAACCACUGUUAUAGAGAAAAAUCUGCUCCUUUUCCCUUUCCUGGAGCCCGUAUAGUGUCCUUAAGUGGUAGGAGAAAUAACAGAGGCCAGCCACAGAAUAUUGAGAAGCAAAGCAGCUAGUAAGCCUGAUCUUUAUUAAACUGUUGCAACAGGGUCCUCACUCACCAUACGCAGGAGGGAGGAGGAACCCAGAACAGUGGUGUGCAAGCCCUCCUAGAGACUUUUGAAAUUGCCCACCUUGUAGCUCAAGACCACCCCUCAAAACAUCAUACAUACAUCACAGAAGGAGGCAGUCUACAGCAGAAAUGGAUCACAGGAGGUGGUUUACAGCAGAAAUCCUGUCUGCCAGGAUACCUGACAAUGGUCACUGAUUGCUUUACCUGGCCAGCCCGGCCAUUCUUUUGCAAUGGUAAAUACUUUAAUUCCUGGAUCCAGGUCACAGGCUCACCCUUUGUUGUUGUUUAGUCAUUUAGUUGUGUCCGACUCUUCGUGACCCCAUGGAACAGAGCACGCCAGGCACUCCUGGCUUCCACUGCCUUCCGCAGUUUGGUAAAACUCAUACUGUAGCUUCAAGAACACUAUCCAACCAUCUCGUCCUCUGUCGUCCCCUUCUCCUUGUGCCCUCCAUCUUUCCCAACAUCCGGGUCUUUUCCAGGGAGUCUUCUCUUCUCAUGAGGUGGCCAAAGUAUUGGAGCCUCAGCUUCACGAUCUGUCCUUCCAGUGAGCACUCAGGGCUGAUUUCCUUCAGAAUGGAUAGGUUUGAUCUUCUUGCAGUCCGUGGGACUCUCAAGAGUCUCCUCCAGCACCAUAAUUCAAAAGCAUCAAUUCUUCGGCAAUCGGCCUUCUUUAUGGUCCAGCUCUCACUUCCAUACAUCACUACUGGGAAAACCAUGGCUUUAACUAUACAGGCUCACCCUGUUCAUACACAAAUACGCCCUUAAGACAGGUAAGCAAAAGAAAAUGGAGAGACUUUCCCAUUUCUUUCCUUCUUGCAGAGAAAUAUUUGAGGUCAAUUUGGGACAGUCAAAAUGGUUUGGGAGAGUCAAAAUGAGUUCAUGAUUGCUCUGCUGUACUAUUUCAGACACGUGGUUUAUGUAAUUACCGGUAUGUAUGUGUUUGCCUUGUACAUUUAUGAACCUUUAUUUUAUAUUUGGGACCUUAGAAUUCUUAUAACACCACCCACUGGCAAACCUAGCUCUCCCCUCUAGAAAUGCAAACUCCUGGCCUUUGUUUAGGCAGCACCCCCUGGGCACAAUUGUGUGGGGUUUUGAGUGUUCACCCCGGCGGUUGUGGGAAGCAACUGAGCAAGGAGAGGAAAAUGUGCUUACAUAUUAGGAGCAAUUUGUUUAGAAUGGUUAUUAGCUCAGCAAGACGCCACUUUCCUUCCACCCACCACCCUGAGAAAACUCUGCUGGCGCACCAGCCGAGAGGGGCAAUUAGCAGGCCACAAGAUGCCACUUUUAAAAUCUGGGAUCCCUCAAGCAUGCAGUUGCGUCAAGACAAAUAAGUUCCAUCUGCUUCAGCCAAGAAUGAAGUUGCAUUCCGCUGCCCCCUUUGGGAUUGUGUUCUGCAAAAGGACGGUUUAGAACAGUCCAAAUCUAGCCCAGGCAACCUGUGUGUAAUAAACCAUCAAUCUGUCUGCUCCAAUCUCUACUUUCCACUUUUCUCUGAUAAAUAAAUCACAACACUGUCUGCUAAAUCCACCCCACACUCCUGCACUUCUCCUCAGUACAGAAAGUCACAUUUUAAAUAACUAAACAUACCUUUCAACCUUGGAAAUAAUUAUGCAGAUUUGAUUAAUUCCCUUUGAGAUGAAUAAAUGAAAUUAACUACCUCAUUGUUGUCAACACCAUACUGUUUUCUACAUAUAAAUGGGUUCAUCAUCUCAAAAAAGAGCUUUUUUAAUUCUUAAAAAAAACCCCCAAAACUAAAUUAACUUUUAAAGUUACAAUUACGUGCCAAGAAGAAAAGAGAAACAUGGAGUAGUUGUCUAUAGCUUGUCUUAUGUACAGUGGUACCUUGGGUUACAUAUGCUUCAGGUUUCAUACGCUUCAGGUUACAGACUCUGCUAACCCAGAAAUAGUGCUUCAGGUGAAGAACUUUGCUUCAGGUUGAGAACAGAAAUCGUGCUCCGGCGGCGUGGUGGCAGCAGGAGGCCCCAUUAGCUAAAGUGGUGCUUCAGGUUAAGAACAGUUUCAGAUUAAGUACAGACCUCCGGAACGAAUUAAGUACUUAACCCGAGGUACCACUGUAUUAUGAAUAUUAGAGUUUAUUAUUGUGCCAUCAAUGCGUGUGCCAGUAUAAGUAUAAGAAGUCAGGUCCUUUCACUCAAGGAGCUUCCAAACUACAUUUCAAAUACAGUGGUACCUCUGGUUACCAACUUAAUUCGUUCCAGAGGUCCAUUCUUAAACUGAAACUGUUCUUAACCUGAGGUACCACUUUAGCUAAUGGGGUCUCCUGCUGCCGCCACUGUGCGAUUUCUGUUCUUAUCCUGGGGCAAAGUUCUUAACCCGAGGUACUAUUUCUGGGUUAGCGGAGUCUGUAACCUGAAGCGUAUGUAACCCGAGGUACCACUGUACUUCCUUGCUCCUGGGAAGAUUCAGGAUCCUGAUCAGGAGGAGGAAGAGGCUCCCACCAUUCCUCCUCAGCGCAGCCCUCCUCAGCACGGUUCCUGACCCCAACCUUCUGGUGGCCGCAUGCCAGAGGUGGUGGGGGCAGAUGCAAAGGGGCAGAGCAAAUGGGUGCAACUCUUCCCUGCCUUUCAAAAACCAGAGGAAGGAAGCAGCACCGUCACAGUUCCAAGGCACAUUCUGGCCAAUCAAAAACAUUCAGGGGUGGUGGCCUGUGGGUGGGUUUGUAACCUGGGGGGAAUCGCAUACCCUGCAAGUUUCUCUAUUUCCCAGUGACAGUCCUGGAAUUAUGAAAGCUUCUGGCUUCUGAUUUGAUGCCGGAAUGUCCCUAUUUCCCCAAACAUUGCCACCACCGCCAAGGUGGGAAAGGAGGAGGAUGAUCCAUCGCUUGUCCUGAGCUGUGUCGGCGGCAGUGGUGGCUGCAAGGGAGCAUAUUGUUGCCUCCCCAUGGCUUCUCCUCCCCAUGGCUGCCAGUGCCGGCCUCCUCCCUUGGGCAACUGGUAGCAUCCUCUGGGAAACAGUCACGAAGGCAGCAGGGAGGCCGUGUGACAUGCUGACUCUGUGGGGUUGGAGUGGAAGAAAGGGAGAGCAGAGAACAAGGAGUCUUGAUGAUGAUGAUGAUGAUACAGUCAUACCUCGGACUGAAUAUGCUUCAGGUUGAGCGUUUUCAGGCUACGCUCCGCGGUGACCCGGAAGUAACGGAACACGUUACUUCUGGGUUUCGCCGCUGGCGCAUGCGCAGAUGCUCAAAAUGACGCCGCGUGAAUGUGCGGAAGCGGCGAAACGCGCCCCAUGCACGCGCAGAUGCGUGUUACGUUCUACUCAUCAGGCGAAUGGGGCUCCAGAACGGAUCCCAUUCGCAUCCAGAGGUACCACUGUAAUAGGUAAGAGGUAAAGGAUCCCUGGACAGUUAAGUCCAGUCAAAGAUGACUAUGGGGUUGUGAUGCUCAUUUUGCUUUCAGGCCAAGGGAGCCGGCGUUUGUCCACAGACAGCUUUCCGGGUCGUGUGGCCAGCAUGACUAAACCUGUUCUGGUGCAACGGGACACGGUGACGGAAACCAGAGAACACGGAAACGCCUUUUACCUUCCCACCGCAGUGAUACCUAUUUAUCUACUUGCACUGGUGUGCUUUUGAACUGCUAGGUUGGCAGGAGCUGGGACAGAGCAAUGGGAGUUCACCCUGUCAUGGGAAAUCGAACCGCCGACCUUCCGAUCGGCAAGCCCAAGAGGCUCGGUGGUUUAGACCACAGCGCCCCACCCACAUCCAAUAAUAAUCAUAAUAAUUUAUUUGUACCCCGCCCAUCUGACUGGUUGCCCCAGCCACUCUGGGCAGCUUCCAACAUAUAUAUAAAAAAUGAUAAAACGUUAAACUUUAAACAAAAGCUUCCUUAUAUCAUGGUUGUCUUCAGAUGUCUUCUAAAGUUUGUAUGGUUACUUAUCUCCUUGGCUCAGGGGUUGCACAACUCCAUACCCUCCAACAUUUCUCCGAUGAAAAUAGGGGCGUCCUAAGGGGAAGCGGGACAUUAUGGGAUCAAAUUAGGAACCCGGACAGCUUUUCUAAAUCCGGGACUGUCCCUGGAAAAUAGGGACACUUGGAGGGCAAUAGCCUUUUCCCUGCUCAGGAUCUCCAACAACUGGCAUUCAGAGCCAUAACCCCCAGCUGUGUGAGUUAUGCAGGGAUAUAAAAAAGUGGCCCCCUGUGAUAUUUUAAACACCCUUAUCGUAUACUGGAAGGACUGGAGGCACAAUUGCAUGUGGAAAGAUUUAUUGGGUCUUCAAAAGGUCCUUAGAUCCAUGGAAUUAAGACACUCUUUUAGGACAUCUGAAUUUGCCCUCUUCAUUCCAGGUGCACAAUUUCUCCCCUGCACAAAUAGGCUUGCAAUCCUAUUCCGCAGCAUGAUUUCAUUAGCCCAAUCCAUCUGGGGAUAUCGUUGGCAUAUGCAAAGCUUAUAUGCUUUCCCCUGAAAGCAUUUGCAGACCAAAUGUACAGGUUUGCGGGGGAGGAAAGACGUUGGAAGGGAAAUGGAAUUUGGCCUUCUGACAAAUUAAGAUAGUAUUUGAUGUAAAAAAGCAACGUGGUCUGUUUCCUUUCAUCUUUUCUUUUUAAAAUUUAAAUGAAAACCCUAAAGCCAUAUUUGCUGAUGAGUUGUUGCAUGUAUGCUGUGGAGUGCAAGUCAGAUAGAUGGAGCGUGUCUGACGCUUGUCAUACGGGGACUGCAAAUAUUGAUGUGAAUUAUUGACCAGUGAAUCUCAGCCUGCUGCCAUGAGGGGGGAGGGAAGGAAGAGAGAGUGACUGGGCCAGCUUCUAAGUAAUGCCAAAUAGUUUUUAUCACCAAGCCCAGAAGUUCUCAAAUUGUGGUCCAUAGAGCAAUGAUCACCUUUGAGCCCCACUCAACAGCUGGGAAUAUCUGUACUUAGCUUCUGCUUUUGAUUAAAUUUUUUUACUGAUGACGGAGAGGGAGGCUGUUUUGACUGGGGCAGAAUUAGGGGUGGGUGAAUCUGUCAAUUUUGGCUUCUCAUUUUUCCAGUCCCCAGUUUGCCCCAUUUCACAUCAUUUUACCAAUUUUUUUUUACAAGAAGUGUACAUGAAAAUGUGCAUGUGUUUUCAUACCUGUUUCCCUUCAAGCCCACAGUUUUUGCAUGUAUUUUUGCCCAAUGUAUACGUUUUUGCAAGAACCCCCCCACCGCCCCCCCAAUUUUGUACAUGUUUGUACAUUGUGUACAUCUUCAAGGUUUUGCUACUGACAUAGGAAACCCUGAACAGCUGAAGAUCAGAAUACUUGGCAGACUGAGUGCCUAAGAACAUUGGAAGCUGUCUUAUACCUGUAAUGAAUCCGACCAUUCAGCCAUCUAUUGCCUACUCUGACUGACAGUGGCUCUCCAAGUUUUCUCUCCUUUUUUUGCAAUUUAAUCUUUAUUGCUUUUAAAUAUUGAAUCCAUUCACCACAAAAAAAACCCAAAGAAAAAACAAAUCACAUCAAAUACACAUAAAAAAUAUGUUACAUAUAAAAUAAAGUUCUUCCAUACGUUGAGACUUCCGUCAUCCUCAGUAUGGGUCCUUUGUUUCCUUGUUGACUGCAUAUUGUAUGACCUUUAACUUAUCAUAAAUUAUCUAUAAUCUUUGUAGCAUAUCACACUGCAGAAGUUAAUCAAAGCAUGUCAAAGAUUUCAUAUGUGAUCAAUGUUCUUUUAAAUAUAUAUCCCAUUCUUUGUUAAACUUUUGGUUUGCCUGGUUCCUCAUUUCCCCUGUCAUCUUUGCCAAUUCUACAUAGUCAAAUAAUUUCGCCUGCCACUCCAUUUUAGUGGGUAUUUUGACUCCCUUCCACCAUUUGGCUGUCAGCAUUCUCGUGGCAGUGGUUACAUACAUGGAUAUCUUCCUCAGUUCGGCUCUCCAGGUUUUCAGACAGUAUUCUCCCCCAGCCUUACCUGUUGAUGUUGGGGGUUGAUCCUGGGGACACUUCUCCAUUGGGGAAUACCCUGCUGGUCAUGUCAUGGUUGGCAGAUCACCAUCUAGUGACAACAAGGAACAGCACCUUUUCCAUAGCUCCACCAUCCACCAAGCCUCUGCACCACCCUCCCCCAUGUGAUUCGAGAGGCAUCAACUAGGACAUGUCUUAAUUUGUUCAGGUGUCCUGACCAUUAAGCUUUGGGUUGCACUGCUCAAUAUUUUGUUGCAGGAUCUUGAUCCUAAAAUUUUGUAGACUGUAUCUAUUUUUAUUGACAAGUAGGCAAAUGGGGGGACGCGGGUGGCGCUGUGGGUUAAACCACAGAACCUAGGACUUGCUGAUCAGAAGGUUGUCGGUUUGAAUUCCUGCGACGGGGUGAGCUCCCGUUGCUCGGUCCCUGCUCCUGCCAACCCAGCAGUUCGAAAGCACAAGUAGAUAAAUAGGUACCACUCCGGUGGGAAGGUAAACGGCGUUUCUGUGCGCUGCUCUGGUUCAUCAGAAGCAGCUUAGUCAUGCUGGCCACAUGACCCGGAAGCUGUACACCAGCUCCCUCGGCCAAUAAAGCGAGAUGAGUGCCACAACUCCAGAGUCGUCCGUGACUGGACCUAUUGGUCAGGGGUCCCUUUACCUUUUUAGGCAAAUGGCUCCUGCCAACCUAGCAGUUCGAAAGCACGUCCUGUUUUCAUUUUAAAUGUGUUUAUUUCAACUGGGCCUGAUUCCUUAUGUGUGUAUGCAUGCACUAGAAAUCCAAAACAAUCAUUGAACCCUGCAUGGUUUCCUCCAUUUCUGCUUGAAAACAAGGAAAGAACCAGUUCCGCUUUACACGACGACUCUGGUUUGUUUUUCCUUUCUCUUUCUUUUCUGCAAACUUCCCACAUGUAGAACCAGCAAAGAGUCACAACUGUAUGUCCUAGUUUUUAACGUGGCAGGCAGCAAUCCUACACGCUGGUAGUUCGCAUGGAAACAAGGACUUAACGCCCCAGUGGAGACGAAGGAGCUGGAUUUGAAUUUGAUUUCUUCCUUAGCAACACCAGGCUGAAUGCCUCACAUCAGCGCAUGCUAUUUUUAAAACCUGGCAGGAAAAAGGUAUAGAAAAGUGGAGUAAAUCAAGGGCGGAUGCCGUUUGAGACUCUGGGAACUCUCGUGCCCACCGGUGCCUUGCCAUGCAAGAAAGGAUGAGUGUGUUUUAUCGCUCACAAACACAUGGUCACUAAGGCUGCAAAAUAAAAUUAAAAAAAUAAAUAAACCCUGUCUCCACUUUCCUGAGAAGAAGCCCCAGCUAAAUCCAAACUUAAGAGAUUUUUAAAGCAGGCAGGAGACAGACAUAGGCCAGCUCUCCUUUUAGUAAUUAGGCUGAACAGUCGGCGUGGGCGAUAUCUUCCAAGUGGAGCCUCAUUGCUCAACUCCAGGUUUCCAAUUGAGAUAUUUAUUAAACGAUUCUAAAGGAAAGGGAGUGACAGAAGAAGAAGAAGAGGAAGAAGAAGAAGAAGAAGAAGAAGAAGAAGAAGAAGAAGAAGAAGAAGAAGAAGAAGAAGAAGAAUGUGGCUUAAAUCAUCCUUACACUUCCUGUGGAUUCUGAAAUCAGUUUUAGGAGGGACGGCCCUUUUAUUAGGCAGAGUGAGGAAAUAGCGUUGGGCAGCAGAUUAGAAUAGAAUAGAAUAGAAUAGGAGUUGGAAGGGACCCUGAGGGUUAUCUAAUGCAACCCCCUGGAAUGCAGGGUGCUCCAGCGAUUCCCUUUUUUUGGAGGAAGGAGCUGCGUACUGUAUGCUGCAUGGAUUGGAUUGUCCAUCCUCCCUACACUAGCCUGAAGGUAGGGAUUGGCAAAUACAGUCAUACCUCGGAAGUUGAAUGGAAUCUGUUCCGGAAGUCCAUCCAACUCCCAGAACCAUUAAAAACCCAAGCCAAUCAGAAGCCACGGAAGCCGUGCCGGACAUCCGACUUUCGAAAAUCUUGAAAAUUGGAAUACUUACUUCUGAUUUUCGAUCGUUCAGGAGCCAAAACAUUCAGCAACUAAGCUAUUUGAGAUCCAAGGUAUGACUGUACGAUGGAACCUUGGUUUUCGAAUGUCUCAGAAGUUGAAUGUUUCGGUUUUCAGAAGUCGAAUGUGUCACGUGGCUUCCGUAUUGAGUUUUCCAUAAGUAUUUGCUUCCGAAAAUGCAUGCUUCGGGUUUCAGAAGUCGGUCUUCUGGAACAGAUUACAUUUGAAAACCGAGGUUCCACUGUAUAGUCAUACCUCGUGUUGCGUUAGGUUCAUGUUGCGUCUCAUUCUGCAUGAUUUGCACAUGCGCAGAAGCACUCUAUCAUGCUCUGCGCAUGUGCAGAAGUGCUGUUUUAGUUGCGGACUUUUUGGGGUGCGAAUGGCACUCCAGAUUGGAUCAUGUCCGCAACUCGAGGUACCAUUGUAUGGCAAUUUUGGUUUCUCUCAGUUUCUCAUUUUCCAGUCUCAAGUUCAGUUCUGCACAUUUUUGCAUCAUUCUGUGAGUUAGUAUUUUUUUAAAGAAAUCGUGAAAAUUCAUUGUCAUUUUGUUGUGAAUUUCUCCUAUCAUCAUUAUUUAUUUAUUAAAUUUGUUAGUAGCUUAAUUGCUUGAUCUUGCCCAAGGCAAUCUAAAGCCACUUACCGUAUUUUUCGCUCUAUAAGAUGCACCAGACCACAAGACACUCCAAGUUUUUGGAGGAGGAAAACAAGAAAAAAAAUAUUCUGAAUCUCAGAAGCCAGAACAGCAAGAGGGAUCGCUGCGCAGCGAAAGCAGCGAUCCCUUCUUGCUGUUCUGGCUUCUGUGAUAGCUGCGCAGCCUGCAUUCGCUCCAUAAGGAGCACACACAUUUCCCCUUACUUUUUAGGAGGGAAAAAGUGAGUCUUAUAGAGCAAAAAAUACGGUAAGUUACAACAGGGACUUCCUAAGCCCGUGGAGCAUUAAAGGGUGGUAAGGGGCUUCUUAGGGUGGCGCUGUGGGUUAAACCACAGAGCCUAGGACUUGCCGAUCAGAAGGUUGGCGGUUUGAAUCCCCGCACCGGGGUGAGCUCCCGUUGCUCGGUCCCAGUUCCUGCCAACCUAGCAGUUUGAAAGCACGUCAAAGUGCAAGUAUAUAAAUAGGUAUCGCUCCGGCGGGAAGGUAAACGGUGCUUCCGUGCACCGCUCUGGUUCACCAGAAGCGGCUUAGUCAUGCUGGCCACAUGACCCGGGAGCUGUACGCCGGCUCCCUCGGCCAAUAAAGCGAGAUGAGCGCUGCAACCCCAGAGUUGGCCGCGAUUGAACCUAAUGGUCAGUGGUCCCUUUACCUUUACCUUUAAGGGGCUUCUUGCCUGCUGCUUGGCCACAUGCCCAGAACAUGAGAGGGGGCUGCAAGAAAGAUCACCCUAGCUCUGUCCCAUUGCCAUUCUUGUCCAACUUACAGAAGGGACAAUAGGGCAAUAGGGACGUUUUGUACCUGUGGAGGCUUUUAGACCCCUGGAAAAUGAGCUUUCAUUGAUGACUCCUUGCUGCAGAAGUUGAUCUUCCACAAGCUGGAGGGUGGCAAAAAAUGAAGCUCCAGUGAGCUCAUUUCCACUGCCUCCUCAUGUGUUUAAUUAACACUUAGACAUGAAUGCACAACGAGGACUAUAGUGCAUAAAACACUUGUUGGAAAUGGACUUUGUUUUGUAUUUUAUACCGAACGGUUCCUCUCUAUAUAUUAAAUAUCAGGCUCUGCAAAUUCAUCAACAAACAUAAAACAAGAUAAGAAUUCCCCAAGCGUGCAAUAAGAUUAAAAUAUUGAGGGUUGUAUCUAAAUGUGGCAUUCAGUUAAGUCCCUUAGGGUAUCCUUGUUCUUCUGGAAAAAACAUGUUGUGCCUGCGGAACGUGGCUGUGCUAGACAAUGUAUACAUGGGUUGUGCAAGAGAUUGCUGAGUCUGUGGCAAAAUGUCCAAACUUCCCUUUUGACCCAAGCUUGCUAGACACAGGUCCGGUCUUUAAAGCUCUGUGUCUGAGUACUUCCCUCCUGCCCCACUGCUUUGCCCUGGAAAACUCAUGCUGAAUUUGUUUCCCCCACAGAUUGCUGUUUGCUCCGAUUCAGCAGCAAAGAGCAGGUUUUUCUGGGGAAAGCACUGGGGUGAAAAAAACACAUCACCCAUUGACUAGCAUGUGAGCCUUUGCAUGAGCAGAAAGGGAACACUAGACACAUGCCCAUGUUUUAAAAGAUAAGCAAUGCUAGCUCACCUUUCAAGUAUCAGUGCAGUUAUAGGCUGUCAUUAUGGGAUAGUUUUGCAGCAGCCCUGUUUGUAAUACGAACCCCCAGAAUAGGAUGUGGAUCCCACAGAUUGUUACAGGAUUGAGAGGACAUUGCAGCAAAUUCACUGCGAGCUCAUUAAACAAAGGCAGCAAUGAUUAAUGUUAAGUGUUGUUUACAAUGAUCGUGAUUAGAGUUGAUGCUUCUCCUUAGUAAAAAGCAUUACAGAAGACAUCAAAGAUGUGGAACUGGCAAACAGGACUGAUCUAGAAGCAAUCUGAGGCUUACAGACUCCCAAAUGCAAUUGUACUAAGUGAAAUGGGAAGAGACAGAAGUGGGUGGAAUUCUCCUCCUCCCCAACACUGUAAUAUUUAGUGGUAUUCCAUAGCUGCCCACCUGCACAUUAUUGCAAUUAGAUAAUAUUCUAGACAACAGUCACUCAUUCUUCUUGCUGGGUUCUGUAGGAUGCAUGACAGCUGGGAAAUAUGAAAACUAAAAUAUCUUUUAGUGUUGCAGCUUCUACACUUAGGAACCCCCUGACCAUUAACACCAGGCAGGUUUUGGGUGCCUGCUUCAAACAUUUUUUUUUUAUUCGCAAUAUCCUAUACAGACAUGUAGGUGUUGGUGUGUUUUAAUCUCUUGUACUGCUAUUGUUAAUUAUUUUUUGAAUUGUUGUAACCUGCCCAUGGAACCUUGGGAGUGAAGGGCAGGUAAUAAAUUUAUUUAUUUUUUAAAAAAAAUGUUUCUAAUGGUUUUAGCUGUUUUUAAUUGGUGAGUUUAAUAUUUCUUUUGAACUGCUAUGAGGUUUUACCACAAUCCAGUAGUAUAUACAUAAAUGAAUAACUAAAACAUAUUUGCCAGUUCCCCUUUAGGACAUCUCUGCAUUUGCAGUAGGGAGACAGUCCUGCAGCCUAUGGAGCCUAGACAACCACUGUUCUAAGUCAUUUUGCUUUACUUCUGUACAAAAAGCAACUAAUAGGUUUAAAUAAUGGUAAUGAUAAUGAUGAAACAAUGACGAGAGACAGUUGGAGAUGGUGUUGUGCAUCAGGGUGUUUAAAUUAAUAGAAACAAGAACACUGAGGUUCAUUGAAGCCUGACCCAUGUUUAUUGGAGGAUGCAGAGAGUAGGUUCCCUGCAAAGGAGGGAAGCGGGGACUUGCCUGUAGCAGCCCCAUCCUAGGAACAUAAAAAUAAGCUACCUUAGUCAGACAAUUCACUCAUCUAAUUCAGUACAGUCUCUAUACUGAUUGACAGUGGCUCUCCAGAGUGGUUUAUUAUUUAUUUAUUUAUUUAUUUAUUUACAGUAUUUAUGUACCAUUUUUUGGGUGGACCUCACAAAACAGUUUACAUAAGAUUACAGCAAAGAACACCUUUUUAAAAAGUUAUAAUAAAAUGGAAAAGAGAAGUUUGUUCAGAAAAAGCUGUUUCUGCUUCUUCCCCAUUCCCCACAGGGCAAGAUGGUCUUUCAGACGCCCCUGUGAUGGGCACCUGGGACAUUCAGCAAGCAUGGCAGAUGUUCAACCGCAGAGUUAGGGCCCCUCCCUAAGACAAAUGCCUUGAGGAUAGAGCUAUAAAUGGCAAUUGGCUAUGGUGCCCAUAUGGCAGAACUUUCAUGUUCUCUGAUAAAUGCUACUGAAUACCAAUUGAAUUGCUGCUGGGGUUGGUGGUGCCCCACAGGGAUGGCAGGUGGAGCUAAGGUCUAAACCACUGAGCCUCUUGGGCUUGCCAAUCGGAAGGUUGGCAGUUCGAAUCCCCACGGCGGGGUGAGCUUCCGUUGCUCUGUCCCAGCUCCUGCCAACCUAGCAGUUCAAAAGCAGGCCAGUGCAAGUAGAUAAAUAGGUACUGCUGUGGCGGGAAGGUAAACAGCAUUUCUGUGUGCUCUGGCUUCCUUCACGGUGUCCUGUUGUGCCAGAAGCAGUGUAGUCAUGCUGGCCACACGACCCAGAAAGCUGUCUGUGGACAAACGCCAGCUCCUUCGGCCUGAAAGCGAGAUGAGCUCCGCAACCCCAUAGUCAUCUUUGACUGGACUUAACCGUCCAGGGGUCCUAUCCUGAACUUUCUUGGAGGCAUCUGCUGAGCUGUGUGGCUUGGGGGGAGAACAGCUAGAUGCCAAGCAAGAUGGACUUUUGAUCUGAUCCAGGCAUCCCUAAACUCGGUCCUCCAGCUGUUCUGGGACUACAAUUCCCAUCAUCCCUGACCACUGGCCCUGUUAGCUAGGGAUGAUGGGAGUUGUAGUCCCCAAACAGCUGGAGGGCCGAGUUUGGGGAUGCCUGAUCUGAUCCAACAAGCUUCUUCUCACAGGACUUGCGGUCCUGCAGAUGCUGUUGAGCUGAGAGUGCCUAUCAGCCAGUACGACCAGCAGUCAAGUUAUGAUGGGAGGGGUAGGUCAGCAAUAUCAGGAUGAGACACAGGGUCCCCCCCUUCCCAUCCUUUUGAAUGUACAAUCAUACCUCGGGUUGAAGUUGCUUCAGGUUGAGCGUUUUCGGGUUGCGCUCCGCGGCGACCUAGAGGUAAUGGAAUGCGUUACUUCUGGGUUUCGCCGCUCGUGCAUGCGCAGACGGUCAAAAUGACAUCACACGCAUGCGCAGAAGCGGCGAACCGCGCACACGCAGACGCAGGUUGCGUUCGCUUCAGGAUGCGAACGGUGCUGUGGAAUAGGUCUCGUUCAUAUCCAGAGGUACCACUGUACUAGCAAUGUGCAUCUCAGUAAAGCUACAGAAGCAGAGAAAGGAACUUGGCACCUAAAAUGUCAGCUUGUCUCCUGUUUUGAGACACAGGUGCCAGGUUUUGCAGGUGGCACCAAGGCAGCAGUGCAACGCCCAUCAGUAGACCAGGGGAAUGAUUCACACCUCCCUGAGGAUGAGAAAGGUGCCAAGGCUUUGCACAGUAUCAAGGCAAUGCGAAAAACAAGAGCCACAGAACGAGAGAGAGAGAGAGAGAGAGAGAGAGAGAGAGAGAGAGGAGUUAUCAGCAGCCAUCUGGUAGAAAAUAGCAGGAGCCAGUGUUGCUCGCCACCCACACACCCUCUGCAAGAACUGUUUUCAAGUCAGAUCCAAAGCCCUCGUCUCCUACACUUCCUCAUCCGAAUGGAGACGGCGAGUUCUCCGAAUGCCUCCUUGGGCUUCCUGAGUGCCCCACUGCUUUCCUGCCUCUUUCCUAAGCCCACUGUGCUUUCCAAACAACGCCCAGAACACCAGCUUCCUUUCCACCAGGGAUCCGGCACAGCCAGUCCAGGCCUUGGAUCAUCAUCGCAGCAUUCAUUCGAAGCGGGAGGGGGAGAUUCCCGAUGGCUCACAAAAGGGAGGAGAUGCUUGAGUUGCUUGCAGGUUAUUAGCCUUCAUCCACGUGAGCUGAGUCCCACUUGAGCGCCCCGGCCUGCCCAAUCCAGUUUACCUGAAGGAGGAUCUCCACCCCCAUCAUUUAGCCCAGACACUGAGGUCCAGCUCUGAGGGCCUUCUGGUGGUUCCCUCCCUGCGAGAGGUGAGGUUACGGGGAACCGGGCAGAGGGCCUUCUCAGUAGUGGCGUCUGCCCUGUGGAACGCCCUCUCAUCAGAUGUCAAAGAAAUAAACAACUAUCUGACUUUUAGAAGACAUCUGAAGGGAAGCUUUUAAUGUUUGAUGUUUUAUUGUGUUUUUAAUAUUCUAUUGGGAGCCACCCAGAGUGGCUGGGGAAACCCAGCCAGAUGGGUGGAGUAUAAAUAAUAAAUUAUUAUUGUUGUUGUUAUUUAUUUACCACUGAGAUUUCAGAAAUGUUAUUUAAAGGAGAAUAAGGUCAAAUUCUAACUCAUUGGUGGUUUUGGAAACAAAACCCUGCAAUUUGGAGCUCUGAAACCUACCAAGAAAUCUGGAGGGGAGGUUUGGAAGCAGUCCCUGCACGGGUCAGGAAGGAAGCUGUUGAUGCAGGUCUGCGAAUGCCAGAGUCAAUAUGUCUCUUUCUGUUUACAGUGGCUAAGAAGAAAUGGAAUGGCACAGAAGCAUCCAAGCUGGUUUCCCAUUGGUCCUCUCAACAGCACCCUUUCACUUCCAGAAGAACAAUCACCACCCCAUUGAGUCUGAUCACAGAAGAGAUGCAAUGCUCUCCUGGACCGCCUUUCUUUUUAGAGCCGCUAUUCCUAUUCUUUCUGUUAAAAAAAUUAAUCAUAUUGGCACUCCUUGCUUCCUCCUUUGCACGCUGUCUCUAACCCCUCCCUGUGUACAUAUCAGUUGUUCUUCAAUUCCCCCCACCCAAAUUAUAUACACAUAUAUCACACCCACACCUGUGCAAUAUAGAACGGAGCUUUCUUUUGCAACGCUCAUAACCUGUAAGCUUGCCUCUCCACUUCUCAGUUUUUGGGGGGCCUUCAGGCAUUUGCUACUCAGUCCUGUAUUCUGAGCAGUCUGAGCAGAGGCAAAGAGGCUAUUCUUCGUAUAGCUUGGCCUUUAAGCCUUUUCCAUCACUGGCCAGAGUCUGGAGACGAGGCAGUGGAGCUGCGAGUGGUAUGUUAGAACGGCUUGCUCUGCAGCACACAAGCAUGUAUUUUGUCCCACUGUAAUAAAUAUCUGGCUCGAUGGGGCAUAAUAUUGGCUGCUGUUUUUAAUUAGAUCCUUACUGCAUACAACAACACCAUACACACAUAAAAUAAAACCACAUUAACAUCGCCUAUGGUUCUGAUUAUGAACACAAUGAUUUUCUUAUAUCUCCAUUCGCCCAUCUUUCAUCUUACUAAUUAAAUAACAUUUUAAAAAUAAUGGAGAAGGAAAUGCAUGUUGACGAUAUUACGGGUGCCACUUCGAGUUGGGUUAACCUGUCAAUUUUUGUUUCUCUCAGUUUCUUGUUUUAUCCAGUCCACCACAUUUCUGCAUCAGUUUUGCAAUUCCUUUUUAAAAAAAGAUUCUCCUGAAAAUUCAUCAGAAUUUUAGCCUAAUGUACAAAUUUUUAUAUGCAUUUUUGCCCAACAGUGUUUGCAGUCAGUUCCCCCUCAUAUAAUGCACGUAUGGUGCUAUUUUCACUAAUAUAUGCCUUUGUCUGCCUAGUGUCCCCGAUAUAUAUAUUUUUGUAUACUUCAUUUGUUUGGAGAACUACGCCACAAAAUUCAGAGAAGGGCAUGCUUCGAAGAAAGGCUGUGCUUCAGUUCAUAUAUUCUCCCUCGUCCCUAACACCAACUCGUAUGUGCCCAUCCCAGCUCUGUGUCCCCACCCCACCCCCUGUCCCAACACACAGAAAAAUUGCAGCAUCAUUCCUUGCCUGCUGAGCUUGUGCCAGGCAGAAAUCUGUACAUAAUGUUACUUGUGCAAGGAAGGUCCAUUCAAACUAUCUUCCCACGACUGAGGCUGCAAUCCUGUGCUCACAUACCAGGGAGUAAGUACCAUUGAACUUAACGGGGCUUGCUUCUGAGUACUGUAACUAUGCAUAGGAUUGCAAUAAAGUGUUUUGUCUGUCCUCACCACAGGCGGCAUCAAGUUUGGAAAAACACAUCAAAAUCCUGCAAAGCUGUUUCUGAAACCUCUCUCUCAUACUAUCUUUCACACUUUAAAAUAUCUCCAGCUAGAAAGGAAACACCCUUUUCCUUGGUCAGCCCAGAGAGGUGUUCCCAUAAAGCCUUUUCUUGCAUGUUGCAUGCCGAUUUAUUCUUUUGCAUCUGACAGUUUUAGAAAUUCUUUUUGAGGCGUUGCGCAACCAAGCUCCAUUUUUAAUCAGUCUAGCCUUUGUUGAACGUUCCUGUUCAGUUGUGGUUUGAAGGUUGAAAUAUUAAUUCUGUUGGUGUCCUCAAUUCUUGUCAUGGUGUGGUGAGCCCUUUUUAAAUGAACUUCUACAGUAGCUGUAGGACAGCCAUUGGUUCCCUUUUAUUCUUUGGGCCAGUAGAUCAUGGAGAGUGCUAAGUUGCUCCCAGCCUUCAGGUUCUUCAUUUGCACAGACCCAGUCUGAUAGUCAGUGUGUGUCAUUCCUCCCCACCAUGCAAGCUGGUUGUUGUGGCUGCCCUAACCUCCUAGCCCCAAGUUCUGUAGGGCUGGCCCUACCAUUGUAUAGAGUGAGGCAGUGACCUCAGGGGUCAGGUGCUGGGGUGCAGCAAUAGCAGCCCCUGGGCUGUUGCUCCUGAGCUCCUCCUCCCAGCCAUUGCCCUCUGUUGGAAGCCAGGACUGCAUACACUGCCUCAAGUGUGAUGGAGAAUGUUGUCUCAUCACCAUUGCUGAGGUAAGAUUCAUGUACCAGUUCAGUUGGUUUGGGGAAGAGGGGCACCAUUCUUGUCUUCAGGCUGCAAAUAUACAGUGGUACCUUGGUUCCCGAAUGGCUAAGUUGUUGAACAAAUCAGCUCCUGAAUGCCGCAAACCCAGAAGUGUUCCAGUUUGUGAACGUUUUUCGGAAGCCGAACAUCUGACGUGGCUUCCGCGGCUUCCGAUUGAGUGCAGGAAGUUUCUGCAGCCAAUUGGAAGCCGUGCCUUGGUUUUUUAAUGGUUUUGGGAGUCGAAUGGACUCCCAGAAUGGAUUAAGUUUGAGAACCAAGGUACCAUUGUAGUGGUCCGGCCCUAUAGUUUUGGGAUCAAUCGUGUAGUCCAGUUAAAUCAUUUUGCCUUCCGCAUUUGCUAUUAACCCACCCUUGCUAUUAAGCACUAGCCCAGAAGCCAUCAGCAACCAUGAAAGCCUUGCAGCUGGUAGAGGAGGAACGGAGCGUUCCAUCCCUCCUUUGCACCCAGGGUAGGAAGGCAGGGCAGAGGAAGGGAAGAGCACUCCGCAGGGCAGGCAUUGUUGGGCACCUGCACGAACCCACUAGGGCCCACUGUCGUUUUCUGAUGUUUCUCCCUCCUCAUCCUGGAACUGUCUGUUCACCUGCUCUCUUUGAGCCUGCAAACCAGAGCAAGAAGACAAGAAUAGCCUCCACCCCCUCCCCGUGCUCAGCUUCAGGGCGUUGUGCCGAUUGGGCCCAGAGGGAGAGAGCAAGUGAGCAAGCCACUCAGUGUACCUUGUCAUAAGAAGGCUUUGCUGGAUCAGGCCAAGGGACCAUCUUACAGUGCCCCCACCCCCCUGAUGCCUAUGGGUAGCUCAAAAGCAGGACCUGAAUGCAAUAGCACACCAGUUGGUCCCUCCAAUGCUAGCUCACAGCAGGCUAGUAAAUAUUUUUGCAGGCAACCACUUAUUAUUAUUAUUUGCAAGGCUGCAUUAAUCCGAUCCCCCUUCCCUCAAUUGGCUCCCCCGACUCAUUAACCCAAUUCCCUCAUUCUUGUUUUCUUACUCAAGCCUCCAGCUUUAUGCUCUCUAUAGAGCACGAAGAACGGUCCAAGUUCUCUAACAGGCUGGCAGGUUAGAAAGAAGAUGUGAUCCUGGCUUUUUAUGCUUUCUUCUUCCCUCGCUUCUUACAGGGCUCAGAGCAGACAGGAGAAGGGCUGACGGAGAGGGGAAGAAGGCCAUGGGAUAAGCAGAAGAGCGAACUCAAGCAGUGACUGUAUUCUCUGCUUUGAAUUUGCUGGGCUUUUAGGAAGAUUCUCUAGGUAGCAAGAAGGACUGUAGAGAUGAUACACCAUCCAACUAUUCCAAGAAAUGUUCAAAAGGCCUCAAUAGCAUGCAGGAAUUUCCCCCCUGCUUAUUCAGCUACAUUUUACACCAUCCUACACUGUUCUUCUGUCUGCCUUGUGAACACCCCACAUUCCCUUGGCCUCUCUGCACCGUGCCCCACUUUGUAAGUCCUCUCUCUCUCUCUCUCUCCAUCCAUCCAUCCAUCCAUCCAUCCAUACAGUUUAGGCAGGAGCUGGUGCAGCUGUCUUUCUAAAUAUCUUUUUAACAUUUUGCAUGUGAUUGCUUCUACCAAGAUGGAAUGUUAAUAAAGGAAUGUUGAUAUG
Non-coding RNA from Podarcis lilfordi (Lilford's wall lizard), 48043 nucleotides. The record is from the annotation of a GenBank genome assembly. Lineage: Eukaryota; Metazoa; Chordata; Lepidosauria; Squamata; Lacertidae.